ACAUGCACAAUCUCAACUCUCUUGAGGAUUUGAGCAUCGACUACCGUGAAGGUUUGACUUUUCCUCCCAACCUAACAUCACUUGAUCUUUGGAAGGUCAAGAGUUGUAAGUCAUUGUGGGAGUUGGAGUGGGGGUUGCACAGACUCACCUCUCUUAGAUACUUGUAUAUCGACAGUGAAGACCCGGAUACGGUGUCGUUUCCACCCGACAUGGUACGGAUGGAGACGCUCUUCCCCAAAUCUCUCACUAACCUCGCAAUAGGUGGCUUCCCGAAUCUAAAGAAACUGAGCAGCAAGGGCUUUCAAUUCCUCACCUCCCUUCAAUCUCUGAAACUCUUCCGUUGUCCAAAGCUAGCAUCUAUUCCAAAGGAGGGUCUGCCUCCUUCGCUAGAGGAACUUUGGAUCGAAGGGUGUCCAGUGCUAAAAGAGAGAUGUCAACCAGGAAAAGGACGCUACUGGCACAAAAUAUCCCACAUCCCUUACAUAAGGAUAGAUUAUAAGAAGAUAUGAAGCUGAUGGUCCAGGUAUCAUCUCUCGAGGAAUGUUUUAAUAUUAAUAUUAUUAUUAUUAAUAUCUCACAUCCCUUUCAUAAGCAUAGAUUGGGAGUUGAUAUGAAGCUGAUGGUCCAGGUAUCAUCUCUCAAGGAAUGUUUUAAUAUUAAUAUUAUUAUUAUUAUUAAUCAUCUUUAUUCUUGUAAAGUAAAGUAAUCCACAUAUUUUGGUUUGGGUCAAGGCUUUGGGGGUUGAGGAGUGGCUACUUUGGGAGGCCUUUCAAUUGGCGUCAACGGGGAUAUUUCUCCGCCAACGUUUCUUCUCCCAGAUUCCUAUAUUUGCUUCUUUCUUUCUUUUUUUUAUUGGUAAACGAUUGCUAUGUUUGCUUGGUCCCUUUUCAUUGAUUUGUAUUAUAACUUUAUAAAUGUGCUACUCUUUCUCCCAGCAAGAUUUUAAUCAGGCCACUUUAAUCUAAUCUUUUAUUUUAUUUUAGCAAAUUUUGACUUAUGAGCUAGUAAUGCAUUUUAUUUAAUGCAUCGAGAAUAAGCAAUCAACAAAGAAAUGGAAAUGUAAAGAGCUCGUUGCUCAAGUGGGUACAAGAGUGAUUUUACCCUUGGCCGUUUGUUAUGCACUUGCUAGAGGCUUGUGGAACGAUGACCACUAAAUGACUUCCUUUACUAUAACUUGUCUUCCUGAAAGUAGAAAAUACGUGCCAACGAAUUUUGGUCAAUCAAAUCCUUAUACCAAGCCUUCAUCACUUGUUCAAAAAAUGCAUUAUUCAUCUAAUUGAUAUGUGAUAAAUUGGUGAUGAUUAUGCAUUUUAACCGAGUUCUAAGGAAAAUUGAAGAUAGUAAUACAUCAGUACUAAAACUACAAAAUAUUACUGAAUUUGUAUACUUAUUACUUGGGUGCCCUCUGCCUUGCUGUGCUGAAUAACAAUGAGAAUAUAUUACUGAAUUCUAGCAGGAAAAAGGCAGGCCACUCUCAAAAUUUGGUGAAUGGGACGUCAAUGAUCCUGCUUCAGCUGAGGGGUUUACUGUGAUCUUUAACAAGGCUAGGGAUGAGAAGAAGACAGGUGGAAAACCGGAGUCACCAGGAAAGGUUGAUCCUAAUAUCAGGCAUGGAGGAGUGGAUACUGGCACUGGCACUGGCAGGCCUUCGUCUGUAAGAUUUUUUCUCAUAACUCUGUCUCAUUUCUUUGUCUAAUGAUUUGAUAAUAUACACAUGAGACAGCCAAUAGCAAUACAUUCUUUACGGUUUUCUUAGUUGCAAGUUAUUGCUUUUCAAGUGACGUCAGUAGUACAACACAGCAUACCAUUUGAUGUGAAAAUCAAUGCAACUGACUUAUAUAGAACUCUAGUAAGGAAAUGUGGCAAAAGACAGAUCUAAUGUUAGGGCCAAGAUAUUUGAAAAAUAAAAGAACACAAGAUGAUUCGGCUGUUUUAUCUGCAUUAUUCCAUGGGAGUGGAAUUGGCAUACGUUAACUUCACUCAGGUUCCAUCUCCUUUUAGACAGAUGUAGCCUAAUAGGAACAUUUGUUUGUUUUAUUGUGAACAAUUGAAAGAACUAUUGGCCCUUGAAAUAUUUGCUCUUGUCAAUUGAUCAUUGUGUGGCCUUUUCGUUUUCUGUGUCUGCUGCAUUUCCAAUUAGUAGAAUAAUAGAACGAAUAACUGGACGGUAAUUAUUUCUGCUGCCAAAAUCUAAUAUGCUUAAAUUCCUCACUCUUUGUGGAUGAUUUGAUUUGGUUUGAUUUCCUGGUGCACAGAAAAAAUGGUUUUGCAGCAUUCAUCAACCACCAGCAGUUUUGUUGACAAUGUUGUUCUCCUAAGUGCUCCGAUGGAGGAGCACGGUGUUCUGUAACUGGCUCCACUAUAUUUCCUCUCUCACUGUAUGUCUAUGAAAUUGGCAGCCGGGUAAGUGAAGUUUGAAGCAAUGGUUAGCAGUUUGCCUAAGGAAAUCGUACAUGAUAUCCUUUUGAGACUACCUCCUAAAGCUUUGAUGAGAUGCACCUCGGUGUCCAAGCCUUGGAACUCCAUGAUAAAAAGUCCCAGCUUUAUUCGCACCAAGGUAUAAAAUAUCAAUGAUAUCGGAAAUGUCGGUAGUCCAAAAACACGGAAAUUUCGAUGGAAAUAUCGGGAUAUUAUCGAUAUCGAUAAAAAUUGAAUAAAAACCAUGGAAAUUGUUAGAAAAACUUGGAAAUUUUUAUUGAAACUUUGCUGGAUGUUUAUUUAGUCAAUUAUCUAUUAGUUUAUUACAAAAAAUUGGAAGGAAAUGCAUUGCAUGAUAGAUAUAACUGAUUUAAAUUGAUUAUAUAGCGAGCUGGCAAACAUGGUGAGUGUAGAAAAUAUGUAGUAAUUAAUGAAAGAAGUUUAAACACACCAUAAUCAUUUAUAUAUAAUGAAUUAGUACAAUAUUUUACACUUUAUACAUUUCAUGGUAAGAUACAUGAGUGACUUAGCAAGGUCUAAAAUAUCGAUGAUAUCGGAAAUAUCGGUAGUCCAAAAAAAUAUCACUAGUCCAAAAACGCGGAAAUUUCGAUGGAAAUAUCGGGAUAUUAUGGAUAUUUUAGACCAUGAUUCGCACCCACCUCAGCCGUACCAUCGAUUUUAAGCAGUUUGGCACCCACCGACUCCUUCUGCAUUGUGUUAGUGGAGACAAUCCAGUGGAGCAGAAUUACUAUUUGCAUUAUGAUAACCAUGCUUUUGAUGAGUACUGCAAGCUAGAGUAUCCAAGUGUUCCCAAGCGCAAGAGAUUUCUUCGUGUGGUCGGAAUGCGAGGAUCCGAAUACUUUUUAUGGGCUUAUUCACUUGCUAGAGGCUUGUGGAGUAGUCCUUGUUCUUUUGAUCCCGUUUGUAAAGUUUUUUAUUCUUGCAAAUUUCAGGCUUUUGUGAACUGGGCAGUUCAUUGGCUGGCAUGGCGCUGCUUGAACGAUGGUCGUUAUCAAAAUUUCAUUUUAGCAAUUGAUGUGGACGGUGAGUUAUUUUGCGAGAUAAGGGUGCUAAAGAGUUUCAGACAGGAUGAACCAUUAGAUUAUCACUUGUCUGUUUCAGGUGAUGGAAACUCCGUUGCUAUGUUCACGACAACGCGUGGUCGUAAUUGUCCUGAGGAUUUUCUUGACAUAUGGGUGAUGAAAGAGUAUGGCAUCGAGGAUUCAUGGGCCAAACUGAUAACUCUAAGUCCACCGGAUCCGGAAAGAAGGGUGCCCUACAAGCCCUUAUGUUUUAGGAACAAUGGUGAAGUAGUGUCCUGACUUUAUCACUUGUUCUAGUAAAAAACGUCGCAUGUACUGGGAUUUUCUCAGGGAUGCCUUGUGAUAUUCUGACAUGGGUAAAUUGUAGCAAUGGUCCCUCAUUUUUUAAUCAAAUUGGAGCAAUGAUUCGUCAACUAAAAUUUCAUUACCAUUGGUCCCUCAAUUUAUGAAAAUGUGUAGCUAUAGUCAUAUUCAUCAAUUUUGUCUAAAUAAGUUAUGUUGGAAUAAUCAUUUAUAUAAUUAGGGUCCCUCAAUUCAUCAAAGUGUGUAAUUAAGGUUCUUUUCGUCAACUACGUCAAAAUUUUUGUCAAAACGAGUUAUGUUGGACGGAUCAUUGCUACAAUUAGGUUAAAGUUAAGGGACUAUUUCUCCAGUUGAAUUAAAGUUGAGGGAUCAAUGGUAAUAGAUUUUUAGUUAAGAGACCAUAGCUGCACAUUUUGAUGAGUUGAGGGACCAAUAAUAAUGAAUUUUUAGUUGAGUGACCAUUGCUCCAAUUGAGUUAAAGUUAAGAGACCAUAGCUACAAUUUACUCUUCUAACAUUGCUGGAUGUUAGCUAGAGAUGAACAUUUUUCCUUUAGUUUGUCUGUUAAUUUAGAGACCUAGAAGAAGUUGCUUAUCACAACAUGUUGCCAAUGUUCAUGGAUAUAUACAGUUAAAUUAAUUUCUUUGAAAUUGCUUGUGAUAUUUUCGUGCCAAAUAGGAAGAGAAGAAAAUUGCAUAUCUUAUUUUUUUAGCUCUAAUAAGAUUUAUCUAGUCACGAGACUUUUACAAUAACUUUUGCUCCUAUGGUCAACCAAAAUAAUAAUAUUACAGUAGAGACUAGUAGUCCAUUAGUAAUUGUGUGUUCAACUGAAAGCAGCGAGAAAAAUACGUACCUUUUUCUCUUCUCUGUUUUCAAAGAAUUUUUUAUCUUCUUCCUCUGCAACCCUUGCAUGCAGGUUUGGCAGUAAAGUAAGUUUCCGCGCAAUUAAAAUAAUGGCAAACUAAUCUUUCGGUUUCGUACGAAGAUAGGAUAAUUUAUACUAAAUUAUUUUUUUGUCUUUUAUUAAAGAAUACAUUUAUAAAAAAAUAAAAAAAGAAGUUUUAAGUGUUUGGGAUCUUUUAAAUACCAAUUUCAAUACAGCUAUUAGUUUAAGUAACAUAAUUUUUAGUUUAGGUGCCAAUGAAAAAAUCAACUAAAAUAAUUCUAUAAAAACUAUUAUAAUUCAAAAUAAUUAUACGAUUGCCGCGUUUUCCGACCUGCCAACUGUAUUCGCAACCACCUCACCCUUACAAUCAAUCUUAAUAACCACGUUUCGACUGACCUCCUUGUACUGCAUUGUAUUCGCAUACACGAGCCAAGGGAGGAGCAUUAGUAUUUGCAUUAUGAUAAAUAACCAUGAUUUUGAUGAGUACUGUAGACUAGAAUUUCCAAUCAUUCCCAAGGGAGAAUGGUUUAAUACGACCUAUAGACUACAAGAACUCAAAUUCCUUUUUUGUUAUCUUCUGUAAACCAUCCAUUAGAGCUCUCGGCAGGCAGUGACCAUUUUUGAGGAAUGACUAGACACAUGUUGGGGCAUCAUCAUGACAUCAUAGGUGAACAAUACGAUUUCGCGUUUAAGUUUCUCUCUAUAUACAUCGUGUUAACUUUGUUUUUCUACUUUCCUAGCACGUUCCGGUUCGUGUAUUUUCAGUUUUUGUAUAGUGGAAAGGUCAAGUUGGUAGUAGAUUGACAUAGCGAAAAAAUUACUUGUCACUAAUUCAGUUUACCAAGCUUAAUUGGUCUCUCUUAACUUACAAAAUUGUCAUAAUAAGCUAGUAGUUUCACUUCAUGGAAAUCUUGCUCAAUGUUGUUUGACUUGUUUCCCUUCUUAAACAUCGAUCGAGAUGUUCGUUAAUUAAAUGCUAAUAAUACUUGCUCUUCACCUUCAAAUGGAUCAUAAGUUAAUAUAGCUCUGUGAUUAAUUAAGUAGUAUGACUCCAAAAUGGUAAAAGCAUAAUCCAUGAUAAUUUUGGUAAAUCUGAUCUCGGCAAGAUCAUGUUCUUCUCUUCUUGUUGUGUGGCUCACGUUGUUUCAGAGUCUUUUACUGUUUAAAAUUAAUUACUAUUCCACCCGAAGUUUCACGUUUGGGUCCUCUUCUUAUAGCGGAAACGAAAAAGUAUAACCGUGUAGGAUAUUUGCGAUAAGAAAGCAAUCAAAAAGAAAACAAUAUGACCCCACGAAAAAUAAAGAGAGAACAAAAACAAGGAAUCUUUCUUUCUUUACGGGCAGAAAGAUGAAGACAUGUUAGUCUUUUAACACGUAUCGCAAUGGCAAAUUGAAGUAGUUAUCGUCGAAAGAGGAAGACUUGUUAUAGUCUUUCAAGUCGACACCUAAUUAUCCUAGCAAAUUGAUCUGUAAAGUAGUCUACAAAAACUCAAAUUCCAUUUAAACUACCUGUUUUAUUAAAGGAAUAUACUAUCCGCAUAUCUAUUUUUACUUAUCAGACACUCUUUUUUACUUCUCACAUCCCCUUUGUUAACUUUUGUCCUUUGAUCUACUUCAAUUCAUCCGAUCCGACACCGAAAAUUAAAAUGAUGUGUGAGAAGUAAAAAAAGGUGUGUGGAUAUCACACCAUUUUACUAAAUCCUAAAUUGUAUAACUCCUUCAAAUAUAUCAAAGGCGAAUAUGGUACCUUCUGUAAACAAUCCGGUAGAGCUCUCAGCAGGCAAUGAUAAUAUUUAGGGAAUGACUAGACACAUGUUGGGACGUUAUCGUGACAUCAUGGGUUAACAAUACAAUUUGUGUUUAAAUUUCUCUUCACUAGCUUAGUUUUUCUACUUUCCUAACAUGUUCGGGUUCGUGCAUUUUCAGCUUUUGGGUAGUGGAAAAGUCAAGUUGCUGGUAGACUAAGUAGUGAACAAGUAGAUUCACACGGCAAUACAUAAGUCAAAAAUUACUCGUCACUAAUUCAGUUCUACCGAGUUUAGUUUGUCUCUCUUAAUCUUCAAACUUACAUAAUAAGCUAGUAAUUUCACUUCAUGAAAAUCUUGCUCAAAGUUGUUUGACUUGUUUCCUUUCUUUAGCAGCUAGACGUUCAAUUAUAUGCUAAUAAAACUUGCUCUUCAUCUUCAAUUGAUCUAAAAUAUAGCUCUGCGACUAAUUAAGUAGUAUGACUACAAGAUGGUUAACAAUAAUCCAUGGUAACCUUUUGCAGGAUCAUUUUCUUCUUCUUUGUGUUGUGUGGCUUAGGCUGUUUGAGUCUUUUACUACUUUAAAUUAAUUUAAGGAAAACUAAUGAAAAUGACUUGAAAACUUUGAGUUUUAACGAAAAUGACAAAAAUGUGUUGUAAAUGAAUAGUAUCAAUAUUGACUUUUUAGAGUAAAAAUGUGAUUUUUUGUUAAAGUAACAGUACCUUGAGUUUUUCUUCGUUAAAGUUUCGUUAAAUUUAUUGUCUCAACAUUAUCUACAAUGGCCUAAAAAAUUAAUCACCCUUUCAAACUAAUAUAAUCGGUAUUGCAAGAAAUGCAACUCAGUUGUUUACCAGCAAUCACCCUUUCACCCUAAAUUGCGUGUUUGGUUCCUCAUCUCCCAAAAUCGUUCGUAUAAAUGAAAAGAAAAUGUAUAACCGUGUAGGACAUAGGAGAUAAGAAAGCAAUUAAAAAGAUAAAAGAGGAAUCUGUCUUUUUUGGCAGAAAGAGGAAGACUUGUUAUAGUCUUUCAACACCUAAUCAUCAUUGCAAUUUGAAGAGCCUCGACUAGAAGAAAAAGACGUCUUAUGUACUCGGAAUUUUCUCCGGGAUGCCUUGUGAUAUUCUGAUAUUGCUGCUAGAAAUAAACAUUUUUCCUUAAGUUUGUCUGCUAAUUUACCGUCCUAGAAAAAGUUGCUUAUCACAACAUGUUGCCAAUGUUCAUGGACAUAUACAGUUAAUGAGUUUCUAUGAAAAUGUUGUCGAUAUUUUCGUGCCAAAUGUUGAGUGCAUCAUCUAUUUGUUGUAGCCUUAAUUUCUAGUUGCCCUCCAACUUUCAACGUUGCUUUGCUUAAUUGCAAACCUUUCAUCUCUUAUUGUGCUUUCUUCUCAAUAUUCUCACACCUCUAUAAGGCGAGAAGCAAAUUACAUAUCUCGGUUUCAAAGCUUUAAUAAGAUUUAUAUCUCUCUCAUUACAAAACUUUUACAAUAAAUUUUCCUCCCAUGGUCUAUCAAAAUAAUAAUAUUUCAGCAGCGACUAUCUAUUAUCAUAAAUUUUGGUGCAUUUGAAAGCAGCGAGAACAAUACAUUUUUAUUUUAUUUUUUCUCAAAUAAAUUUUUUGGUCAUUUUCCUCUGCAACCCUUGAGUUUCAACCCACUUUAUUUAUAAGAGUGAGGAGAACAAAUUUUUAAACCAAAUUUUGUAAAUAAAAUGAUAUGUCACUAAUAAAAAAUAAGUACGUUAAUUAAUACUUGAAUAAUUUGAUCUCUCUAACAUUAUUCUUAAAAUAAUGGUAAACUAAUUUUUUUAUUUAUUUUUACGAAUGAUAGAAUAAUCUAUUAAACUAUUGUGUUUUUUUUCUUUUUGUGAACAAUAAGACAAUAAACUAUUAUUUCGCCUUUUAUUAAAGAGUACUAAAAAAACGAAGUUUUUGAGAUCUUUUAAGUACCAAUUCCAAUAAAACUUUCAGGGUAAGUAACGUGAUUUUUAGUUUACAAAUAUUAAAAAAAACUAAUGAAAAUGACUUGAAAAUUUUGAGUUUUAAUGAAAAAGACAAAAAUGUGUUGUAAGUGAAUAGUACCAGAAUUGACAUUUUAAAGUAAAAAUGUGGUUUUUUGUUAAAGUGAGCAGUACCGAAAGAGUUUCGUUAAAGCUCCCAAAUACUAAUGAAAAAGUUAACCAAAAUAAAUCUACAGAUAUUAGAGCAAGUCCAUCCCUGAAAACUUUGUGCCAGCACCCAGCGUAUUUAUAUCUCCAUCGGCACCCGGAUGCAGUGUUAAAUGAGCAAGGGGGCUAUAGAAACUUCUUUUCGAACGACUCCACUCAAAGUUGUUUGGGAGCAUAUGCUCCUAUCAACUUUACACGGGACACACAAAAGAAGUACUUUGAUCCUAUUAGACGGGGAAGGGUGAAGAAGCUAGGACAGAAGGGUAGAGUUCAAGAGAGCAAAAUGCGUUUAGGAACGUGGAAUAUAGGAACCUUGACGGGAAAAUCUAUGGAAGUAGUAGAAGUUAUGGUGAGGAGAAGGAUAAAUAUUAUGUGCCUACAAGAAACUAAGUGGGUUGGGCGUAAGGCAAAGGAUCUAGAAAACUCAGGGUUUAAACUAUGGUAUUCGGGCACAAAUAGAACGAGAAACGGUGUUGGCAUCAUCGUGGACAAGACCUUGACACAAGAUGUUGUAGAUGUCAAGAGGGUAGGAGAUAGAAUCAUGGCAAUCAAGAUUGUAAUAGGACAAGAACUUAUCAAUGUGAUUAGUGCGUACGCACCUCAAGUAGGGUUGGAUACGAGUUCGAAGGAGAAAUUUUGGGAAGACCUUGGAGACUUGGUGCAAGGAAUUGCUCAGACGGAGAAGUUAUUUAUAGGAGGAGAUUUAAAUGGACACGUGGGCAGGGAGACAGGCAACUAUGGAGGUUUUCAUGGUGGCCAUGGUUUUGGGGAGAGAAACGAGGAUGGGGAAGCUAUCUUGGAUUUUGCAAUGGCAUAUGAUCUCUUCUUAGCCAACACCUUCUUUAAGAAGCGGGAAGAACAUGUGAUCACCUACAAGAGUGGGUCGUCAAAAACACAAAUAGAUUUUCUUCUAAUGAGGAAAAGGGAUCGUAUAACUUGUAAGGAUUGCAAAGUUAUACCAGGAGAGAGCGUGGCUAAUCAACAUCGCUUGUUGGUGAUGGAUGUACAUAUCAAAAGAGUGAGAAAAAAGAACAAGACUUGGAAGUGCCCAAGGACUAGAUGGUGGAAUCUAAAAGAAGAAAAACAAGCAAUUUUCAAAGAGAAAAUAAUCACCCAGUGUGUGUGGGAUAGAGAGGGGGAAGCUAACCAAAUGUGGGAUUCCAUGGCUAGUUGUAUCCGAAAAGUAGCAAAAGAGGUAUUAGGAGAGUCCAAGGGCUUUGCCCCACACCAAAAGGAAUCUUGGUGGUGGAGUGAGGAGGUACAAACAAAGGUGAAGGCUAAGAAGGAAUGUUGUAAAGCCUUAUACAAGGAUAGGACCGAUGAAAAUGGUGAAAGGUAUAGAAAAGCGAAGCAAGAGGUGAAGAAAGCUGUGAGAGAAGCUAAGUUAGCGGCUUAUGACGAUAUGUAUAAACGACUAGAUACCAAAGAAGGAGAGUUGGAUAUCUAUAAACUAGCUAGAGCAAGGGAAAAGAAGACAAGGGACCUAAACCAAGUGAGGUGCAUCAAGGAUGAGGAUGGAAAGGUUCUUGCUACAGAGAACGCGGUUAAAGACAGAUGGAAAGGUUAUUUUCAUAAUCUUUUCAAUGAAGGACAUGAAAGGAGUGCUUCUUUAGGGGAGUUGAGUAACUCAGAAGAGUGUAGAAACUACUCUUUUUAUCGUAGAAUCCGGAAGGAAGAAGUGGUUGUAUCUUUGAAGAAGAUGAAGCAUAGAAAAGCAGUAGGCCCAGACGAUAUACCAAUCGAAGUGUGGAAAGUUUUGGGAGAGACAGGUAUAACAUGGCUCACUGACAUUUUCAAUAGGAUUUUGAAAACGAAGAAGAUGCCAAAUGAGUGGCGAACGAGCACUUUGGUGCCUAUCUACAAGAAUAAGGGCGAUGUACAAAAUUGCAUGAACUAUAGGGGUAUUAAGCUAAUGAGUCAUACAAUGAAGCUCUGGGAGAGAGUCAUUGAGCAUAGAUUGAGGCAAGAGACACGGGUUUCGGACAACCAAUUCGGGUUCAUGCCAGGGGCGCUCAACCAUGGAGGCAAUCUAUCUCUUACGAAGAUUGAUGGAAAGAUAUAGAGAUGGGAAAAAGGAUUUACACAUGGUCUUUAUAGAUUUGGAAAAAGCGUAUGAUAGGGUCCCAAGAGACAUUCUUUGGAGGAUUUUAGAGAAGAAAGGAGUACGAGUAGCAUAUAUCCAAGCUAUACAGGAUAUGUAUGAAGGAGCAAAGACUGCCGUAAGAACUCAUGAAGGACAAACCGAAAGCUUUCCCAUAACUGUAGGAUUACAUCAAGGCUCAUCCUUAAGUCCUUACCUUUUUGCGUUGGUAAUGGAUGAGUUAACAGGACAUAUUCAAGAUGAUAUUCCUUGGUGUAUGCUUUUCGCAGACGAUAUAGUGUUGAUAGAUGAAACUCAAGAAGGGGUAAAUGCAAAGAUUAACCUUUGGAGAGAAGUGUUGGAAUCUAAAGGUCUUCGCCUAAGCCGAUCAAAGACAGAAUAUAUGGAGUGCAAGUUCAGUGCAAAUGGAGGCCAAAAACGAGUUAGGGGUGAGGAUCGGAGAUCAAGAAAUACCAAAGAGCGACCGUUUUCGUUACCUAGGAUCUAUCUUGCAAAAGAACGGAGAAUUAGAUGGAGAUCUCAACCAUAGAAUACAAGCUGGAUGGAUGAAGUGGAAGAGUGCAUCCGGCGUGUUGUGUGACCGCCGUAUGCCACUGAAGCUCAAGGGAAAAUUUUAUAGGACGGCAAUAAGGCCGGCGAUGCUGUAUGGCACAGAAUGUGGGGCGGUGAAGCAUCAACACGUACACAAAAUGGGUGUAGCGGAGAUGAGGAUGCUUCGUUGGAUGUGUGGGCACACGAGAAAGGAUAAGAUUAGGAAUGAGGAUAUCCGGGGUAAAGUAGGAGUAGCCGAAAUUGAAGGAAAGAUGAGAGAAAAUCGGUUACGGUGGUUUGGACAUGUGCAAAGAAGGCCUACUGACGCUCCGAUUAGAAGAUGCGACUAUGGGACAGAGGUUCAGGGCCGAAGGGGUAGAGGAAGACCCAGGAAAACUUUGAGAGAGACCCUAAGAAAAGACGUAGAGUACUUGGAUCUAACGGAGGACAUGACACAGGACAGAACACAAUGGCGUUCUAAGAUUCAUAUAGCCGAUCCCACUCAGUGACUUGGAUUUUUCCAAGUCUCCAACCGAAAAGUUUGUCCUCGCUCGGGAAAUUAAGGGAACACUACCUCAACCUACAUGCUCCACUCACAAAGCUCCAACAUACAAGCUUCAACAAAAGAAAAUUCAAAGAACUUAGCGAAGAAGGCUUUGGUGAUUUAACACAAUACGUUGAAAUGAAGGAAAGCUUAUUUAUUGAUAUCCCCGAUAAAUUACAAAUAUGUACAUAUACUUGAGUCAAAAUAAACAAACAAGAGGAAGCCUUCACAAAGGUUGCUUAGGAGAAGUCUCGGCAGUCGGUAGAGCCCCAGAAAGAGAAGGCACCGGAGGGGGAUCAUUCGGAGCCUCAGUACUGGACAGAACCCUAGAAGGAGGAGGCAUCAGAGGUUGAUCAUUUGGAGCUUCAUUACGCGGUACAGCCCCAGAAGACGAAGGCAAUAAAUGCCUUUGGAACAAACCCACAAAUCUCUGAUGAUCAAGUAAAACCUGACCAUCAGAUUCCUUCAUCUGGUCAAGCUUCCUCUUCAUGUUUGUAGCAUAGUCAUGUGCGAGCCGGUGCAACUGUUUAUUCUCAUGCUUGAGCCCUCUAAUCUCCUGUUUGAGACUCAUCACUUCAGCCGCCAAUGAUUCAACUUGGCGGGUUCGAGCAAAUAGGUGUUGGGCCAUAUUAGACACAGAACCUGCACACUGAACACUAAGAGCCAGAGAAUCCUUAACAGCCAACUCAUCAGACCGUUUGGAAAGUAGUCUGUUAUCUUUGGGAGUGAGAAGGUUCCUGGCCACUACCGCAGCGGUCAUAUCAUUCUUCAUAACGGAAUCCCCAACGGUAAGAGGACCAGUAUGGGAGACGAAGGAUGGGCGCCAUAUGUUGUCUGGAGAAGGUGGGGCUGCCUCUUCAACAAGGUUCAAGUCAAAACGACGGUCGGAGGGGCCAGACAUUUUCAAAGGUGUAGAAGAGAGAAGAGGUCGGACAAAUCAAGAUCUUAGAAGUGCAAGAAUGGAGCUUCUACUGGUGGAUAUUCAAGUGUGCUUUGGAACUUAAUGUCAACCUCUAUAAAAAUCUGCACUCGACGAAGCUUCAGAAAUCGAAGAGGCGUUUGCUUUCUCAAAAGCUGGGCUGCUCAGAGACCACGAGGGUCGAUCUCAGAAAUCGAAGAGGCGUUUGCUUUCUCAAAAGCUGGGCUGCUCAAAGACCACGAAGGCCGAUCUCAGAAAUCGAAGAGGUUUGCUUUCUCAAAAGCUGGGCUACUCAGAGACCACGAGGGCCGAUCUCAGAAAUCGAAGAGGUUUGCUUUCUCAAAAGCUGGGCUGCUCAGAGACCACGAGGGCCGAUCUCAGAAAUCGAAGAGGUUUGCUUUCUCAAAAGCUGGGCUGCUCAGAGACCACGAGGGCCGAUCUCAGAAAUCGAAGAGGCACCUACUUUUCCAACCUUGUCAGCACCUGUCACACGCACACUCAGCUUUGCGGAAAUUAUGGGCAUUCUAUCGAAGAUUUCUGGCGAAGUAGAAAGCACAUGAAUCGUACUGUUCAAUCACCCACUUCCCACACGCAACAGUAGCUCAUGGGUACCACAUAUAACUUUGCCAAAGUUCUCUGACAAAGUUGAGACUACUUUUCCAGCCUUGUCAGCACCUGUCACACGCACACUCAGCUUUGCGGAAAUUAUGGGCAUUCUGUCGAAGAUUUCUGGCGAAGUAGAAAGCACAUGAUUCGUACUGUUCAAUCACCCACUUUCCACAUGCAACAGUAGCUCAUGGGUACCACAUAUAACUUUGCCAAAGUUCUCUGACAAAGUCGAGACAUGUGAAGCUUGCAACUCUCACUACAUCGCUCUGACCAAGAAGGGUAAAAGAAUAGCAAAGAAACAACACUAACAAAGUUUAGACACAUAAAUUUUGAAGGGCUAGCUACCAUAUUAUUACCCACAAGGGUAAAGGAACAGUACCACUGCUGGAUAAUUGGAAAGUCCCUGUGUGUCAACCUCUGUGCUUCAUGGCAAGGUAGACUAGCAAACAUGCCCAACCUUUACUCACAUUCGAAAAAACACUCCCAACAAGAUUGCUUGCCCCAAAAUCGAUGAGGCAUCGCCUCCGAAUCUCGAGAGCCAGACUCCCAACAUGAUUACUUUCUCAAAAAUCGAAGAGAGGGUAAAGGAACAGUACCACUGCUGGAUAAUUUGAAAGUCCCUGUGUAUCAACCUCUGUGCUUCGUGGCAAGGUAGACUAGCAAACAUGCCCAACCUUUACUCACAUUCGAGAAAACACCCCCAACAAGAUUGCUUGCUCCAAAAUCGAAGAGGCACCGCCCUCCGAAUCUCGAGAGCCAGACUCCUAACAUGAUUACUUUCUCAAAAAUCGAAGAGAGGGUAAAGGAACAGUACCACUGCUGGAUAAUUGGAAAGUCCCUGUGUGUCAACCUCUGUGCUUCGUGGCAAGGUAGACUAGCAAACAUGCCCAACCUUUACUCAUAUUCGAGAAAACACUCCCAACAAGAUUGCUUGCUCCAAAAUCGAAGAGGCACAGCCCUCCGAAUCUCAAGAGCCAGACUCCCAACAUGAUUACUUUCUCAAAAAUUGAAGACACCGCUCUCCGAAUCUCGAGAGCCAGACCCCCAGCAUGAUUGCUUUCUCAAAAAUCGAAGAGGCAUCGUUCUCCGAAUCUCGAGAGCCAGAUCCCCGACAGGAUUGCUUGUUCGAAAACCGAAGAGGCACCACUUUCCCAACUUCAAGAGCCGGAUCUCCUUGGAUAAAGCUUGUCUGUAAUCUUCACACGCAACAUCAGCUUUCCAGAUACCACAGACCACUUUUUCAAAGUGCUCUAACAGAGUUAAAACUUGUGAAGCUGGCAGCUCCCACUACCGUGCUAUGACCAAGGAGGGUAAAGGAAUAGCAUUAUUACUUGAUGUUAGGGAGACUCCUAUAUAUGUCGACCUCCAUCCCCAACGAACAGGCAGACCUGCAAAAAUGCUCAACCCUUCCUCUUAUCUGAGAGGGCACUCCCAACGAAGCCUUUCGAAAUAUUCAGCUUUCUUUCCCCCCGAUAAUACCUCUGUAAACAAGCUAUACUAGAGCAAGAAUAUCUCAUAUCAUCAGGGUUAAAAGCAAGAGUAUCCCAUAUCAUGCUUUUUCCCUGUCUUUUCCUUUGGCCUUGUUCUUACUUGCAAGACAAGGAGAAAAGAGAGCAAUCAGUCAGCACUUGGAAUCAAGCUUCCAGCCAGGAACUGACUGCCUGGAACCCCUUACCCUGGCAUUGCUCUCGAGUACUCAUCUUCAACAUCUUAUGCUUCCAGGGAAGAUACCGCAUCUGCCUGAGGAACAGAUAGGGCAAGUGAGAAGGAUACAAGGAAGCAUGUGGAGACAAGCGUAACAGCACACGUGCCGAUACAUCCACUACUCUGUCAAAAGCAAAAGUAUCCCAUAUCAGCAGGGUCGAACGUACUCUAGAUUUGAUGGACUUGUUUUGACCCUCAAAUUCUUCAGUCGGCCUUAUACUUUGGAGGAAACCAUAAAACCCUCCAGCCCAGUUCAAGAAUAAGCCUGUGGAAAGUUACUUCUUCAAAAGCAAAAGUAUCCCAUAUCAUCUCUUCUCAUUUUUCUUCUCUUUAUCCUUCAUGCUGCCUGCAAGAUAGGGAGAAUGUGAACAAUCAGCCGGAGCUCUGAUUGUUUACCUUGUCUGUUACCUCUUUCAGCAGAUCCCCUAGCUCGGCGACUUGGGGGACUCCUACUACAUGGUUUGUAUCGCGCUUGACCAAGCCUGAAACUACAAGUAAGCUUCAAGUGACAUUGAUACAUUACCUUGUGCAUCUCCACCAGUUACAGAUACCACCCCUGGAUGGAGGAAGAGUACUUCCAGAGAAGAUUCCACAUCUACCUAUGAGACAGAUAAGGAAAGUCAAGACGAUACCACACUCCGGUACUUAGAAGUUUCGUGGUUACGAGAUCAUUCUCCCACAAUAUUUCCUAAUGUCAUUUGUACUAAAUCAUUCACUUGUACUCCCUAAAGGAGAGCUUGAACCUAUGUACUUGUGUAAACCCUUCACAAUUAAUGAGAACUCCUCUAUUCCGUGGACGUAGCCAAUCUGGGUGAACCACGUACAUCUUGUGUUUGCUUUCCUAUCUCUAUCCAUUUAUAUACUUAUCCACACUAAUGACCGGACCAAUCUAGCGAAGAUCACAAAAAGUGACCGUUUUCGCUACCUAGGAUCUAUCUUGCAAGAGAACGGAGAAUUAGAUGGAGAUCUCAACCAUAAAAUACAAGCUGGAUGGAUGAAGUGUAAGAGUGUAUCCGGCGUGUUGUGUGAUCGUCGUAGGCCACUGAAGCUCAAGGGAAAAUUUUAUAGGACGGCAAUAAGGCCAACGAUGUUGUAUGGCACAGAAUGUUGGGCGGUGAAGCAUCAACACGUACACAAAAUGGGUGUAGCGGAGAUGAGGAUGCUUCGUGGGAUGUAUGGGCACACGAGAAAGGAUAAGAAUGGGAAUGAGGAUAUCCAAGGUAAAGUAGGAGUAGCCAAAAUUGAAGGAAAUAUGAGAGAAAAUCGGUUCCGGUGGUUUGGACAUGUGCAAAGAAGGCCUACUGACGCUCCGGUUCGAAAAUGUGACUACGGGACAGAAGUUCAGGGCCGAAGGGGUAGAGGAAGACCUAGGAAAACUUUGGAAGAGACCCUAAGAAAAGACUUGAUUACUUGGAUCUAACGGAGGACAUGACACAAAACCGAGCGCAAUGGCGUUCUAAGAUUCAUAUAGCCGACCCCACUUAGUGGGAAAAGGCUUUGUUGUUGUUGCUUCCUUUCCCUUUCCGGUCCUUUCUUUAUCAUUUAUUUUUUCUGCUUUCUUCUUUCUUCCUUUCCCUCACCAUGUCGGUACCCAGGCUUCAACCUUCACUGCACGAUCGCACGACCUCGACACCCAGGGCUUCAACCUUCACCGCACGAUCGCACGACCUCCGACCAAGACCUCGACACCCAGGGCUUCAACCUUCACCGCACGAUCGCGGAGCUCAACCUGGACCACCUCAACAAGGUGUUCAUGGCCGUCGGGUUUCUGAAGACAUGAAGACGAAGUGGCCGGUGGCGUUCACGAUCGUGCGAUCGCGGAGCUCAACACGGACUCGCUACUGUGAAUGGAGUACAUGAAGACGAACCGGCCGGUGGCGUUCACAAGGUCGACGGGAGACGGCCUCCAGUUCAAACUUCCUUCGGACGCCAUGCUGGCGUCACCAUGGCAUCAGAUAGGCCGGUCCCAAGGUCUGUCGAUUUUAGGCCGGCCUGUGGACUGGCAUGGGCUGGGUGCCAGUCAAUUGGGUCGGCUAGAGCAAAUUCACUGGGUCCUGGCCUAUUUUUUCGGCUGGGUGCUGGGCAAAAAGUCCUCCAGUGGACUUGCUCUUACUAUAUAGAAUUCAAAAUAAUUAUACGAUUGCCAUUUUUUGUUUACCGGUCAACUGUAUUCCCAACGACCUUACCCGCACAAUCAAUCUUGAUAACCAGGUUUCCACUAACCUCCUUGUACUCGAUUGUGUUCGCAUGCAUGAGCCAAGGUAGGUGCAUUACUAUUUGCAUUCUGAUAAACAACAAUGAUUUUUUAUGAAUAUUGCAGACUAGAAUUUCCAAUCAUUCCCAAGGGAGAACGGUUCAAUCAUAACAUCAUGGGCUAAGAAUACAAUUUCAUGUUUAAGUUUUUCUCCACAUACAUCACGUUAACUUGGUGUUUUUUACUUUCCUAGCAUGUUCCCUUCUGUGCAUUUUCAGCUUUUAAAUAGUGACUUAUUAGUGAAAAAGCAGAUUCACAUGACGAAGACAUAAGUAUAAAAUUACUUGUCACUAAUUCAGUCAUCAAGCUUAAGUCAUCUAUUUUAAUCUUCAAAAUUAACACAAUAAGCUAGAAAAUUCAGUUCAUGAAAAUCUUGCUCAAUGUUGUUUGACUUGUUUCCUUUCUUAAACGUUUAGAUGCUCAUUAAUUAUAUGCUAAUAAAACUUGCUCUUCAUCUUCAAAUGGAUCAUAAUCCAAUAUAGCUCUGUUACCAAUUAACUAGCAUAACUACAAGUCUACAAGACAACUUUGGUAAAUCCGGUGCCGGCAGGAUCAUUUUCUUCUUCUUUGUGUUGUGUGGCUCAGGUUUUUUUUCAGUCUUUUACAAUUUUAAAUUGAUUGUCUCUACAUUAUCUACCAUGACCUACGAACAAUUGAAACAAUCACCCUCCCAAAAUAAUAUGAUCGGUGUUGCAAGGGAUUGUAGCUUAGUUGUUUACAAGCAGAUAUUUUUUUAUUUUUUUUAGUACAUCUUCUUUAUGUUAAGGAAGAGAAGAAGUUUGGCUAAGCCACACAAUGAAUAGCCUAAUUUGAUAUCAAAUUCGUCAUCUACAAUAUUCGAACCUAAGGCCUCUACUUAUAAGUGAGGAGGAAUAUCAUUAGAUCGUAGUACUAGGUGUUGCAAUUAGUCAUUUUUUUGUUGAGAAUAAAUCUCAUAUUAAUGAAAUGAGAGACUUUGUAUGUGCUUAUAAUAAGUAGUUGAGGUACUCUCCCUAUUGUCAAAUUUUUUUUGGUGGAACUUCAACAUUUUUCAUGCUAUCAAAACAAGUUGUCUCAUGUAUGACACAUAAUGGCUUUACGUGAUCCAUAUCUUUCGAGUUGUAUUAUUCACAUGUUAAACUUAAAAUUCGUCAUACGUAACGGAACAUAUUAAGAAUGAAUCUCAUAUUAAAAAAAAAAAAAAGACUUUGAAAUCUCAAGUUUAUUCUAUUUCCAUCCAAAGUUCUAUAUUUGAUUUCCCAUCUCCAAAAUCGUUCCUAUAAAGAAAAAGAAAAAGUAUAACGUACGUGUAGGGCUUUGGAGAUAAGAAAUCAAAUAAAAAGACAACAAUAUGACCCCACGAAAAGUACAGAGGGAAAAGAGGAGUCCUUCUUUGUGGGCAGAAAGGUGCAGACUUGUUAUAAGUCUUUCAACACCUAAUUAUCAAAAGCAAAUUGCAGAGUUCGAGAGUAGUCUGGAUCUGUUGAUUUUUAUAAUCUAUGGAAACAAGUCCCUUCAUCUGAAAACUUGUACGCAGUAAGUUCCUCUUGCAACUAUAUAUGCGAAAUUCAUUAUUUAUUAAUGAAUUAUUUCAUUUUUCUUGAAGUUUGUAUAUUUAAUUAAAGAUUUCAUCAAUAACCAGCUAUAUAAUUUGUGCUGUUUUCAGCCUUGAUUAUUCCAUCAUUCGGUCUGGAUUUGUUGACGAUAAGUGCAAACAAGUGCCCUCAUGACCUGACAGGCUUCCAUGUAACUGCUGCUUGCUUCAGAUCAUGCCCAAUAUUUGUGCAACGGUGCAAGUUUCGAGUCUUGAAGCGUAGGGUUGCAAGAAUUCCCCCCUGCAGUUACGGGUAAUCCCAAAACUGCCCAUUUUUUGUCCAGUUCAAAUUUAAGAAAAAUAAUGUUUACUAGUAUAUGAUUUUUGCAAGCUUGAGUUUUUCUUUUUGCUCGUCUUUUAAAUUUAUAUGGUGUGUUUUAUUGUGCUUUAUUAUUUAUUGUGUUUUAUGUCAUCUCAAAUGACAAGUGAAUCAAAUGUACACAAUUAACAAUUAAUGGGAUAAAUUUAUUAAUUGAUGUGACAUAUCACAUCAAAUUGUACAUAAAUAUGGUACAAACAUAUGUGAUUCCCUUAACAUUUUCGGAUUUUCCUAGUAAUAUUAUAUGGCGUGUUAUUGUGCUUUAUACAUACAAUAUCAAGUUUUUUUUUUUUUUUUUUUUUUGCUUUUUAUUGGAACAUACAAUAUCAAGUUAUUAGGGACUGUAUACCUGGUGGUGGGAAGGUUAUGAUGUAGGCAACCUUGAUCUGAAUCCGGCCCGUUGCCAUCCUUUGCUAUUCCCAAAUUGUUAUCUCUAGAUAUGCUUACUAGGAGUCUCCAUUAAUUGAAUAUUAUUUCAAUUUUACUAUAAAUUUAUAUAGGUAAAUGCUAGGGACAUUAAAUUACUUUAGUCUAAAGUAAGGUUUGAAAUUGGCACUAUUUAAAUGAACAGUGUUUCAAUCCGAAUUUCAGAUUAAUUACAACCAUGCCAUUGGUCUUUGUGUUGGUUUUGGGUCAGCAGCCAGGCCCUCAGCCAUGCCCAAAUGUGUUGGUUUUAGCUGGGAAGCCCCGCCCUCAGUGAGGCCCAAAUUGUUAAUUACAAUUUUGCCCAUCUAAGAUUACAAUCCAAUGGUGGAGAUGGUGUAUUAAGAAGGGCAAUUUUGUCCUCUCCGUUUUGGGCGAGAUAGGGGGUCAUCGGGUAGGUAUCAUUUGCUGUCGUUCAAUUAGGGUUUCAGGGAGGGUCUGAGAGAGAGAGAGAGAGACAGAGAGAGAUGGCGAUGGGAGGAGAGCGAGGGGGAGGGGUAGGGCUCUCGGCACUGUUGUUGCGGAUGGGAGGGUCGGUAUGGUCAGAGAAGACCAUAUGGGUCGUCGGGAUUUCAGGGAGACGGGGUAGGGGUCAUCAACAAACCCUAUUGAGAGUGGGGUGUGCUGGAUCUUGCGCUGCAUGCCUCGAAUCCAAAGAUAAGUUCUUUUUAAAAUUGUAUUCUUUAAUGGUGCCUUAGAUUUUCUAAUUGUUUAGUAUGUUAGGUCCGGUUUUGGGGGAUUUGUGAUUUUACAGAGAGAGAUGGAUAGGGAGAUAGAGAUAGAGAGAGAGAGGAGAUAGCAUGGGUGUGUGCAUUUUUUUGAGUUAAUUAAUGGGUUAGUGCGCAUGUCAGUGAGGAGAGUGACAGAGGGGUGAAUGGCAUUGGCAGGGUAUGGGUUUUCAGUUUUUCCCUCUGAUUCAAUAGGUUAUGCACUGUUUGAAAAUAAAUUGUUUAUUGUUUUGUUUUCCGUUUGCUUUGUUAAAACCAUCAUUCGAAUUUUUCGGUUUCACUGUGCUCAUUUCUGUGCUUCUUCAAAAUUUUCUGGUGUUUGCUUUUCAUUCCUAUGUUGGUUGAUUUUUUUUUUUUCCCAUUUCUUGGUUCCUUAUGUAUUUCUUGGUUCUGUCUAAUUUUUUGCUGUGGGAUGAUGCUUGCAGGUGAACCUGAAAACAGCAUACAAGAUAGAGAACUGGUAUGCUAUUUUGUCUUUCUGUUGGAUUUUGAUGUUUAUGUUCUGCUACUAAGAGGAUUUUAUAGUGUUCUAAAUCUGUUUUGUAAAUGUGCUUAAAGAUUGGACAUGUUCUUGAAUGUUAGCCAUGUUGUUUGAAUUGGAUAUGUGAUUGAAUAUUAGGUAUUUAGUUUGAAUUGAUCUGGAUAUGUGGUUUAUUGAACUAGAAUUUGGAUAUGUGCUGAUUUGAAUUGAGUAUGUUGAAUUAGAGAUGUGCUACUUUGAAUUAAGUUGAAAAAUGGCAAGCCAUGGUAUAUUGAAUGUUUUUUUUUGCCCCAAAUUUACAUAAGUCCCAAAGGGUGAAUGUCGUCCCAAAACUUUACAACAACAACAACAACAAAGCCUUUUCCCACUAAGUGGGGUCGGCUAUAUGAAUCCUAGAACGCCAUUGCGCUCGGUUUUGUAUCAUGUCCUCCGUUAGAUCCAAGUACUCUAAGUCUUUUCUUAGAGUCUCUUCCAAAGUUGUCCUAGGUCUUCCUCUACCCCUUCGGCCUUGAACCUCUGUCCCGUAGUUACAUCUUCGAACCGGAGCGUCAGUCGGCCUUCUUUGCACAUGUUCAAAAUCACCGGAGCCGAUUUUCUCUCAUAUUUCCUACAAUUUCGGCUACUCCUACUUUACCUCAGAUAUCCUAAUUCCCAAUCUUAUCCUUUCUCGUGUGCCCACACAUCCCACGAAGCAUCCUCAUCUCCGCUACACCCAUUUUGUGUACGUGUUGAUGCUUCACCACCCAACAUUCUGUGCCAUACAACAUCGCUAGCCUUAUUGCCGUCCUAUAAAAUUUUCCCUUGAGCUUCAGUGGCCUACGACGGUCACACAACACGCCGGAUGCACUCUUUCCAUCCAGCUCGUAUUCUAUGGUUGAGAUCUCCAUCUAAUUCUCCGUUCUCUUGCAAGAUAGAUCCUAGGUAGCGAAAACGAUCGCUUUUUGUGAUCUUCGCUAGAUUGCUCCGGUCAUUAGUGUGGAUAAGUAUAUAAAUGGAUAGAGAUAGGAAAGCAAAUACAAGAUGUACGUGGUUCACCCAGAUUGGCUACGUCCACGGAAUAGAAGAGUUCUCAUUAAUUGUGAAGGGUUUACACAAGUACAUAGGUUCAAGCUCUCAUUUAGUGAGUACAAGUGAAUGAUUUAGUACAAAUGACAUUAGGAAAUAUUGUGGGAGAAUGAUCUCGUAAUCACGAAACUUCUAAGUAUCGGAGUGUGGUGUCGUCUUGCCUUACCUUAUCUGUCUCAUAGGUAGAUGUGGCAUCUUCUCUGGAAGUACUCUUCCUCCAUCCAGGGGUGGUAUCUUUAACUGGUGGAGAUGCACAAGGUAAUGUAUCAAUUUCACUUGAAGCUUACUUGUAGUUUCAGGCUUGGUCAAGCGCGAUACAAACCAUGUAGUAGGAGUCCCCCAAGUCGCCGAGCUAGGGGGUCUGCUGAAAGAGGUGACAAACAAGGUAAGCAAUCAGAGCUCCGACUGAUUGUUCACCUUCUCCCCAUCUUGCAGCAGCAUGAAGGAUAAAGAGAAGAAAAAUGAGAAGAGAUGAUAUGAGAUACUUUUGCUUUUGAAGAAGUAACUUUCCACAGGCUUAUUCUUGAACUGAGCUGGAGGGUUUUCUGGUUUCCUCCAGAGUAUAAGGCCGACUGAAGAAUUUGAGGGUCAAAACAAGUCCAUCAAAUCUAGAGUACGUUCCACCCUGCUGAUAUGGGAUACUUUUGCUUUUGACAGAGUAAUGAAUGUAUCGGCACGUGUGCUGUUACGCUUGUCUCCACAUGCUUCCUUGUAUCCUUCGCACUUGCCCUAUCUGUUCCUCAAGCAGAUGCGGAAUCUUCCCUGGAAACAUAAGAUGUCGAAGAUGAGUACUCGAGAGCAAUGCCAGGUAAGUAAUCAGGUAAGGGGUUCCAGGCAGUCAGUUCCUGGCUGGAAGCUUGAUUCCAAGUGCUGACUGAUUGCUCUCUUUCUCCUUGUCUUGCAGGUAAAAACAAGGCCAAAAGAAAAGACAGGGAAAAAGCAUGAUAUGGGAUACUCUUGCUUUUAACCCUGAUGAUAUGAGAUAUUCUUGCUCUAGUAUAGCUUGUUUGCAGAGGUAUUAUCGGGGGGAAAGAAAGCUGAAUAUUUCGAAAUGCUUCGUUGGGAGUGCCUUCUCAGAUAUGAUGAAGGGUUGAGCAUUUUUGCAGGUCUGCCUGUCCGUUGGGGAUGGAGGUCGACAUAUAUAGGAGUCUCCCUAAAAACAAGUAGUAAUGCUAUUCCUUUACCCUGCUUGGUCAUAGCACGGUAGUGGGAGCUGCCAGUUUCACAUGUUUUAACUCUGUCAGAGCACUUUGAAAAAGUGGUCUGUGGUAUCUGGCUCUCGAGAUUCGGAGAACGAUGCCUCUUCGAUUUUUGAGAAAGCAAUCAUGCUGGGGGUAUGACUCUCGAGAUUCGGAGAGCAGUGUCUCUUCGAUUUUUGAGGAAGUAAUCAUGUUGGGAGUCUGGCUCUCGAGAUUCGGAGGGCGAUGCCUCUUCGAUUUUGGAGCAAGCAAUCUUGUUGGGAGUGUUGUCUCGAAUGUGAGUAAAGGUUGGGCAUGUUUGCUAGUCUACCUUGCCACGAAGCACAAAGGUUGACACACAGGGACUUUCCAAUUAUCCAGCAAUGGUACUGUUCCUUUACCCUCUCUUCGAUUUUGAGAAAGUAGUCAUGUUGGGAGUCUGGCUCUCGAGAUUCGGAGGACGGUGCCUCUUCGAUUUUGGAGCAAGCAAUCUUAUUGGGAGUGUUUUCUCGAAUGUGAGUAAAGGUUGGGCAUGUUUGCUAGUCUACCUUGCCACGAAGCACAGAGGUUGACACACAGGGACUUUCCAAUUAUCCAGCAGUGGUACUGUUCCUUUACAGUUGUGGGUAAUAAUAUGGUAGCUAGACCUUCAAAAUUUAUGUGUCUAAACUUUUGUUAGUGCUGUUUCUUUGCUAUUCUUUUACCUUUCUUGGUCAGAGCGAUGUAGUGGGAGCUGCAAGCUUCACGUGCUCAACUUUGGCAGAGAACUUUGGCAAAGUUAUUUGUGGUACCCAUGAGCUAUUGUUGCGUGUGGGAAGUGGAUGAUUGAACAGUAAGAUUCAUGUGCUUUCUACUUCACCAGAAGUCUUCGACAGAAUGCCCAUAAUUUCUGCAAAGCUGAGUGUGCGUGUGACAGGUGCUGACAAGGGUAGAAAAGUAGGUGCCUCUUCGAUUUCUGAGAUUGGCCCUCGUGGUCUCUGAGCAGCCCAGCUUUUGAGAAAGCGAGCGCCUCUUCGAUUGAUUCGGAGAACGAUGCCUCAUCGAUUUUUGAGAAAGCAAUCAUGCUGGGGGUCUGGCUCUCGAGAUUCGGGGAGCAGUGUCUCUUCGAUUUUUGAGAAAGUAAUCAUGUUGGGAGUCUGGCUCUCGAGAUUCGGAGGGCGGUGUCUCUUCGAUUUUGGAGCAAGCAAUCUUGUUGGGAGUGUUUUCUCGAAUGUGAGUAAAGGUUGGGCAUGUUUGCUAGUCUACCUUGCCACGAAGCACAGAGGUUGACACACAGGGACUUUCCAAUUAUCCAGCAAUGGUACUGUUCCUUUACCCUCUCUUCGAUUUUUAAGAAAGUAGUCAUGUUGGGAGUCUGGCUCUCGAGAUUCGGAGGACGGUGCCUCUUCGAUUUUGGAGCAAGCAAUCUUAUUGGGAGUGUUUUCUCGAAUGUGAGUAAAGGUUGGGCAUGUUUGAUAGUCUACCUUGCCACGAAGCACAGAGGUUGACACACAGGGACUUUCCAAUUAUCCAGCAGUGGUACUGUUCCUUUACCCUUGUGGGUAAUAAUAUGGUAGCUAGACCUUCAAAAUUUAUGGGUCUAAACUUUGUUAGUGCUGUUUCUUUGCUAUUCUUUUACCCUUCUUGGUCAGAGCGAUGUAGUGGGAGCUGCAAGCUUCACGUGCUCAACUUUGGCAGAGAACUUUGGCAAAGUUAUCUGUGGUACCCAUGAGCUAUUGUUGCGUGUGGGAAGUGGGUGAUUGAACAGUAAGAUUCAUGUGUUUUCUACUUCCCCAGAAGUCUUUGACAGAAUGCCUAUAAUUUCCGCAAAACUGAGUGUGCGUGUGACAGGUGCUGACAAGGCUGGAAAAGGCUGGAAAAGUAGGUGCCUCUUCGAUUUCUGAGAUCGGCCCUCGUGGUCUCUGGGGAGCCCAGCUUUUAAGAAAGCGAGCGUAUCUUCGAUUUUUGAGAUCGGCCAUCGUGGUCUUUGAGCAGCCCAACUUUUGAGAAAGCAAACGCCUCUUCGAUUUCUGAGAUCAACCCUCGUGAUCUCUAAGCAGCCCAGCUUUUGAGAAAGCAAACGCCUCUUCGAUUUCUGAGCAGGCGCCUCUUCGAUUUCUGAAGCUUCGUCGAGUGCAGAUUUUUAUAGGGGCUGGCAUUAAGUUCCAAAGCACACUUGAAUCUCCACCAGUAGAAGCUUCAUUCUUGCACUUCUAAGAUCUUGAUUUUUCCGACCUCUUCUCUCUUCAACACCUUUGAAAAUGUCUGGCCCCUCCGACCGUCGUUUUGACUUGAACCUUGUUGAAGAGGCAGCCCCGCCUUCUCCAGACAACAUAUGGCGCCCAUCCUUCGUUUCCCCUACUGGUCCUCUUACCGUUGGGGAUUCCGUGAUGAAGAAUGAUAUGACCGCUGCGGUGGUGGCCAGGAACCUUCUCACUCCCAAAGAUAACAGACUACUUUCCAAACGGUCUGAUGAGUUAGCUGUUAAGGAUUCGCUGGCUCUCAGUGUUCAGUGUGCAGGUUCUGUGUCUAAUAUGGCCCAACACCUAUUUGCUCGAACCCGCCAAGUUGAAUCAUUGGCGGCUGAAGUGAUGAGUCUCAAACAGGAGAUUAGAGGGCUCAAGCAUGAGAAUAAACAGUUGCACCGGCUCGCACAUGACUAUGCUACAAACAUGAAGAGGAAGCUUGACCAGAUGAAGGAAACUGAUGGUCAGGUUUUACUUGAUCAUCAGAGAUUUGUGGGUUUGUUCCAAAGGCAUUUAUUGCCUUCGUCUUCUGGGGCUGUACCGCGUAAUGAAGCUCCAAAUGAUCAACCUCUGAUGCCUCCUCCUUCUAGGGUUCUGUCCAGUACUGAGGCUCCAAAUGAUCCCCCCCUCCGGUGCCUUCUCUUUCUGGGGCUCUACCUGACUGCUGAGACUUCUCCUAAGCAACCUUUGUGAAGGCUCCCUCUUGUGUGCUUAUUUUGACUCAUGUAUAUGUACAUAUUUGUAGCUUAUCGGGGAUAUCAAUAAAUAAGCUUUCCUUCAUUUCAACGUAUUGUGUUAAAUACACACCAAAGCCUUCUUCGCUAAGUUCUUUGAAUUUUCUUUUGUUAAAGCUUGUAUGUUGAAGCUUUCUGAGUGGAGCAUGUAGGUUGGGGUAGUGUUCCCUUAAUUUCCCGAGUGAGGAAAACUUCUCGGUUGGAGACUUGGAAAAUCCAAGUCACUGAGUGGGAUCGGCUAUAUGAAUCUUAGAACGCCAUUGUGCUCGAUCCUGUGUCAUGUCCUUCGUUAGAUCCAAGUACUCUAAGUCUUUUCUUAGAGUCUCUUCCAAAGUUUUCCUAGGUCUUCCUCUACCCCUUCGGCCCUGAACCUCUGUCCCAUAGUCGCAUCUUCUAAUCGGAACGUCAGUAGGCCUUCUUUGCACAUGUCCAAACCACCGUAACCGAUUUUCUCUCAUCUUUCCUUCAAUUUCGGCUACUCCUACUUUACCCCGGAUAUCCUCAUUCCUAAUCUUAUCCUUUCUCGUGUGCCCACACAUCCAACGAAGCAUCCUCAUCUCCGCUACACCCAUUUUGUGUACGUGUUGAUGUUUCACCGCCCAACAUUCUGUGCCAUACAGCAUCGCCGGCCUUAUUGCCGUCCUAUAAAAUUUUCCCUUGAGCUUCAAUGGCAUACGGCGGUCACACAACACGCCGGAUGCACUCUUCCACUUCAUCCAUCCAGCUUGUAUUCUAUGGUUAAGAUCUCCAUCUAAUUCUCCGUUCUUUUGCAAGAUAGAUCCUAGGUAACGAAAACGGUCACUCUUUGGUAUUUCUUGAUCUCCGAUCCUCACCCCUAACUCGUUUUGGCCUCCAUUUGCACUGAACUUGCACUCCAUAUAUUCUGUCUUUGAUCGGCUUAGGCGAAGACCUUUAGAUUCCAACACUUCUCUCCAAAGGUUAAGCUUUGCAUUUACCCCUUCCUGAGUUUCAUCUAUCAACACUAUAUCGUCUGCGAAAAGCAUACACCAAGGAAUAUCAUCUUGAAUAUGUCCUGUUAACUUAUCCAUUACCAACGCAAAAAGGUAAGGACUUAAGGAUGAGCCUUGAUGUAAUCCUACAGUUAUGGGAAAGCUUUCGGUUUGUCCUUCAUGAGUUCUUACGGCAGUCUUUGCUCCUUCAUACAUAUCCUUUAUAGCUUGGAUAUAUGCUACUCGUACUCCUUUCUUCUCUAAAAUCCUCCAAAGAAUGUCUCUUGGGACCCUAUCAUACGCUUUUUCCAAAUCUAUAAAGACCAUGUGUAAAUCCUUUUUCCCAUCUCUAUAUCUUUCCAUCAAUCUUCGUAAGAGAUAGAUUACCUCCAUGGUUGAGCGCCCUGGCAUGAACCCGAAUUGGUUGUCCGAAACCCGUGUCUCUUGCCUCAAUCUAUGCUCAAUGACUCUCUCCCAGAGCUUCAUUGUAUGACUCAUUAGCUUAAAUACCCCUAUAGUUCAUGCAAUUUUGUACGUCGCCCUUAUUCUUGUAGAUAGGCACCAAAGUGCUCAUUCGCCACUCAUUUGGCAUCUUCUUCGUUUUCAAAAUCCUAUUGAAAAGGUCAGUGAGCCAUGUUUAUACCUGUCUCUCCCAAAAGUUUCCACACUUCGAUUGGUAUAUCGUCUGGGCCUAUUGCUUUUUUAUGCUUCAUCUUCUUCAAAGCUACAACCACUUCUUCCUUUCGGAUUCGACGAUAAAAAGAGUAGUUUCUACACUCUUCUGAGUUACUCAACUCCCCUAAAGAAGCACUCAUUUCAUGUCCUUCAUUGAAAAGAUUAUGAAAAUAACCUCUCCAUCUGUCUUUAACCGCGUUCUCUGUAGCAAGAACAUUUCCAUCCUCAUCCUUGAUGCACCUCACUUGGUUUAGGUCCCUUGUCUUCUUUUCCCUUGCUCUAGAUAGUUUAUAGAUAUCCAACUCUCCUUCUUUGGUAUCUAGUCGUUUAUACAUAUCGUCGUAAGCUGCUAACUUAGCUUCUCUGACAGCUUUCUUCGCCUCUUGCUUCGCUUUUCUAUACCUUUCACCAUUUUCAUCAGUCCUCUCCUUGUAUAAGGCUUUACAACAUUCCUUCUUAGCCUUCACCUUUGUUUGUACCUCCUCAUUCCACCACCAAGAUUCCUUUUGGUGUGGGGCAAAGCCCUUGGACUCUCCUAAUACCUCUUUUGCUACUUUUCGGAUACAACUAGCCAUGGAAUCCCACAUUUGGCUAGCUUCCCCCUCUCUAUCCCACACACAUUGGGUGAUUACCUUCUCUUUGAAAAUGGCUUGUUUUUCUUCUUUUAGAUUCCACCAUCUAGUCCUUGGGCACUUCCAAGUCUUGUUCUUUUGUCUUACUCUUUUGAUAUGUACAUCCCAUCACCAACAAGCGAUGUUGAUUAGCCACGCUCUCUCCUGGUAUAACUUUGCAAUCCUUACAAGUUAUACGAUCCCCUUUCCUCAUUAGAAGAAAAUCUAUUUGUGUUUUUGACGACCCACUCUUGUAGGUGAUCACAUGUUCUUCUCUCUUCUUAAAGAAGGUGUUGGCUAAGAAGAGAUCAUAUGCCAUUGCAAAAUCCAAGAUAGCUUCCCCAUCCUCGUUUCUCUCCCCAAAACCAUGGCCACCAUGAAAACCUCCAUAGUUGCCUGUCUCCCUGCCCACGUGUCCAUUUAAAUCUCCUCCUAUAAAUAACUUCUCCGUCUGAGCAAUUCCUUGCACCAAGUCUCCAAGAUCUUCCCAAAAUUUCUCCUUCGAACUCGUAUCCAACCCUACUUGAGGUGCGUACGCACUAAUCACAUUGAUAAGUUCUUGUCCUAUUACAAUCUUGAUUGCCAUGAUUCUAUCUCCUACCCUCUUGACAUCUACAACAUCUUGUACCAAGGUCUUGUCCACGAUGAUGCCAACACCGUUUCUCGUUCUAUUUGUGCCCGAAUACCAAAGUUUAAACCCUGAGUUUUCUAGAUCCUUUGCCUUACUACCAACCCACUUAGUUUCUUGUAGGCACAUAAUAUUUAUCCUUCUCCUCACCAUAACUUCCACUACUUCCAUAGAUUUUCCCGUUAAGGUUCCUAUAUUCCACGUUCCUAAACGCAUUUUGCUCUCUUGAACUCUACCCUUCUGUCCUAGCUUCUUCACCCUCCCCCGUCUAAUAGGAUCAAAGUACUUCUUUUGUGUGUCCCGGGUAAAGUUGAUAGGAGCAUAUGCUCCCAAACAACUUUGAGUGGAGUCGUUCGAAAAGAAGUUUCUAUAGCCCCCUUGCUCAUUUAACACUGCAUCCGGGUGCCGAUGGAGAUACAGCGACCCUUGCUCACUUAUCACUGUGCUCAGGCCACACAGCGCGCCACUUACGGGUGACGCCCUAGCUUUAGCGCGAUUUUGUUCUGGAUUCAUUUUCAUAAGGAUUCGACGUGAUCAUGGAGUGCCGGCUGUCGACUACCUGACGCCCUCCCCCUCCUCCUUUAUCCGGGCUUGGGACCGGCCAUGUAAGACAUAGGCGGAGUUAUCAACCAAAACUUUAAAAGAAAAUAAUUAGAAAACAUGAUUCAGGAGAGAAAUAACAAGUCCAUCACGUAUUAGAAAAUCAGUUUUGCCCAGUGAUCGAAAUCAUUACAGGAUUAAAAACUAGAAUCCGACUUUGGAAGAACUUCCAUUCUCUUCUAAAACAGCUUCCACCAACGACAAACGUUCUUGCAGAUGUUUAACUGCACAUAGCAAUGGAAAAAGAUAAUAGGUCAGAAGUUAAUAGUUUACACCCAUUUUUCAAACACGGUGGUUGUUUGUUUUGAACCUACACCAGGUUCACCCUGUAUCAGCGGUUUCCCAGUCACACUAGUAUGAACAUUAGAUAUGAGUUUGAUAACACAAAAAACUAGUAGAUUUGUGUAUGCCCCCUUGGGAACUAAUUCUGUGUGGAAUUUUGUUGUAUGGGCUAUGGAGUAAAUACAUGUUGCAUGACGUGACUUGUUCGAGUUCAUUAGAGGGUCGUGGCGAUGCCCAUGGAAAGACAAGCUCAGGUCCUUUCCAUGUUCUUUUGUGAUCUUUGUUUCACAGUUGGAACGGGGGAGGUUUUGAUUCUGUGAUGAUAUUUGGGUUGGGAUUCCUAUUUCAGUGUCAUUUUCUGCCAUCUGUAUAGGAUCUCUUUGCCAUAAUUAAUCACCCCAAAAAAAUUAUUUGCAUUUGAUUCUUUGCAUAAACUUAUCUUAUGAAUAGUUGAGUAUGCUUUAAUGUCAAUACUAAUUUGUCCGUGACUAUGUCUUUGGUUCUCUAUGUUGUGUAUGGACCAGGGAAUUUAAAUUUUAAAGUGCUAUAUAACUUAUGCUAAAAUAUGUUUGGAAUACCCUAGAAAAAUUAGAUAGAGGCUUGAAAGGACUAGAUCCAGUACAUUUGAAAGAGCUCUCAGUACAAGACAACUUUGUUAAGUGUUUUUGUAGUGGUGUUCUAAUAGCAGCUUCGUAGUUUUAGUCUAAUGUUUUUGUUGUACAUUUUUAACAACCGAAUCUAAAAUCCCUCCGUACUUUAAAGUCCCUCCUCCAGACAUCACAUUAGAGAAUUAUAACUAUUCAACAUCCUUGGUGCAUUGGCAGAUUAAUGAUUGUAUCACGGAAUUUUGGCUAAGUUCCUUGAAUUAUUGAACCGUUAAUGCUUUCCAAAUGUUUUACUUUGAUUCAUUGUCUCACAUUUUCCAUGGUACAAGUUUACAUGAUUGCAAGCCGAUAGAAAGAGAUAGAUGUAGGGAGAAGUGGGAAUUGGGGGAGAGAGAGAGUGAGUGAGGGGUGCGGUUGCUUUUUAAAGAUUUCCUUGAAAUUGUUUCUGCAGUUUUUUUUUUUGGGUGGAUUUUCUCGAGUUCUUUCUAUUUGUUUGGAAUUGUUUCAUUUUUACUGAGAUUCUUUUGGUCCCUGUCACUAAACUCUGAUUUCUACUAUUAAUUGCUGCUGAAAUGUGACUUUUGCUAUUAAUUUUGUAAAUUAAUUAAGAUGCUUAAUGUUCCCUUAAUUGUGAUUAAGAUGGUCACAAUCCUACCAUCCUCUGUAUGCUCUGCCAUGUCCGCCGCCAAUGUUUUAUGUUCCGAUUUUUACUUUUUAAUCCUUUCUUACAACAUUUAAAUAAUCAGGUUGAAAUAGUAAUUCUAUUUUUCGACAAACGAUAGGUUAAAUUGUUAGUUGUUAUGAGAGAAGGAGAUCGUUUUAGAGAUCAAACCCGCAUCAAAAUAUAUGAUGAUUUCUGCAAAUGCGAUCAGCAGUUGCAUUUUACAAUAUACAACUUCAGUUAGCAUCAGUUUCUUAAUGAGUGGCAUGUGAAUUCUUAAUUUAAUUUCGGAAAAAAAUGCAUUUAAAUUUGGUGGUAUGUGAUGAACUUAGCAUUCUGUCUUUUAUUAUAUACUGGUGAUGGACAUUUUUAGCAUAUUGGAUUUAUCAUUUUCUAUAAAAUGAAGCUUCAUUCUCGCUAUGUUGUUGAUGUUUUUUUGUGAUUUCAGUUUAUAGUGCUUCUAAAUGCUGUUUUAAUUUAGGAAUUUGAAUAAUUGUUUAAAUGGGAUUGGAGGGUGAUAAAUAUUUCUAGCUAGGGAAAGGUCGCAUCCAUGUGUUGGUCGAAUUGAUGGAUGUAAAAAAUGAAUAUGGCAAGGUGUAAAAAAUGAAUAUGGAUGAACGUUUAGCUACUGCAUGUAGAUUCAGCUUUCCUUUGCAUUUGAGUGAGUUGGAAACCGAGUGGAACAGUUUGAGAGAGGGAGGGACGGAGGGAGAGAGAGAGAGAGGACGAUGUUGGGAUUUUGGUAAAGAUUUGAGCUUUAGUGGUAAGCAUGCUGAUUUGAGCUCACAGAAAAACCCAACAGUAUGUAGAUUGAAUUGAGUUGGGAACUGAGUGGAAAAAUGUUAGAGAGAGGAUUGUGUAUAGUUCUCAAAGCUUCUUACGUUGUUUUCUGAUGCAUCUUUGAGCCACUGGCCUUAGGUGGAGUCUUAUACUGCAAUAUUAUGUGCUAAUCUAAUAAACCCUGCAACUUAUUCGUCUUUGUCAUGAGUAAGUUUUGGUUUUUUUCAUUGGAAUAGGGAUUUAGUGGAUGAUUGUUUUUAACGCAUAUUAGUUAAAAUGAGUUGAGUAUUGGGUGCCAAUCCCAUGUCUGCAAAUCACAGUAGCCUAAGGAAGAAACACUGUCUGCACGAUCUAUAAUACCUAUUCACGCAAGAAUCUUUUCCCAAACUAAAAAGCUUACAUUUCCAAACGUGUAAAGGAUGGGCCACUAUCAUCUUACUUUUUCAAUACCUAAACCAUGCAGUGAUGCAUGGGCUGGAUAUUGCUCCUUUCAAGUUUCAAACCAUUAAAUGCUAAAGAUUUCUGGAUAAAUCAUCGUAGAAGUCGAUUCUACAGAUUCCUUCUUAGUUACACUCAGAUGAUAAUGUAUUUAUUGUCCUUGACAUGUUUUUAAAGUUUGCAUUUUCAAUGUAUAUUUCAUUAACUAAGCUUUAUCAGCGGAAUAUCAUCGCAAAUUUGUUACGGAAAAUGCUAUUGCUAGAUUCUGAUAUAUCUACUUUAGUUUUAAGGAUUACACAUUGUUUUACGAUAUAAAAUAGAUGUUCUGCCUUGAUUUGAUGCGGGGGUAUGCAUUAGCUAACAUUAAUUCUGCUUAGUAUUUCUCAAAUUCAUUUUGGGUUAAAAAGUUGGAGCUUUGGAUCGGGUUUUUUCUUUAUUCAUGUUGGAAGAAUACAUGCAAGUCAUAUCUUGUGUUAAAAUGCAUGCAUGAAAUAAACUUGUUGGAUGACUAGUGAAGUUAGGCUAGUCAACAUUCUUUGUGUAAAAUGCAUGCAUGAAAUAAACAUGUUGGAUGACUAGUGAAGUUAGGCUAGUCAACAUUCUUUGUGUAAGUUAAGCAAGUUAGGCAAGUUAGGCUUAUGUCUACUUUCUUUUCCUAUAUAUAUGUUUCAUUUGUAAUUGUUUCUUCAUGAAAUACACAUAAAAAAUUCUACAUGGUAUCAGAGCAGGUUCAUUUGUAACCUGUCUCUGCCAUUCUUGCUGCUGCAAUUUUUUCUUUCUUUCAAAGUCUAAGUCAUGACUGAAGAAAGUUCUGUGAACCAUGAUGAGGAAACCCGGCACAAUCUCUCUCCAAACUUCUCAGACGUUGAGGUUAACACCAAUCAACGUUUGUGUUCAGUUCUCUUGAACGAGUUCAAUUAUCUUCCUUGGUCCCGAGCUGUUUCACUAGCUCUCGGAGGCAAAGGGAAGUUAGGGUUUGUAAAUGGAAGCGUGGAAGCUCCAGACAGUUCUUCCUCUACAUACAAUGCAUGGCUCUGCAAAGAUCAACUUGUCAUGUCCUUGCUGCUCAAACACCAUGGAGAAACAUGUUGCUGAAAUUUUUAGCUACUCCAAUUCCGCACAUGAUCUUUGGAAAGCUUUGCAGGAUAUGUAUGGAAAUCAAAACAACUAUGCACGGGUCUUCCAAUUAAAGAAGGACAUUGACAGUGCUCAACAAGAAGGGAAAGCAUUUGUUCAACACCUUGGGAGCCUCAAAGCCAUGUGGAAUGAGUUGGAUGUAUAUCUCCCUCAUACCACAGAUCCUACCAUUCUCCUAAAACGAGCUGAGGAAGACAAAAUUUAUCAGCUGUUAGGGAGUUUGAGCUCUGAGUACGAGGACCUAAGGAGUCACAUCUUGAUGAGUCAAGACCUGCCUACCUUCAACAAUGUUUGUGCAACUAUCCAACGAGAAGAAGUAAGGAAGAAGGUUAUGAAUGUUGAUCACAAUCCUAGAUUAACGGAGACUCGGGCAUAUGCAUCAAAGUACAAGAACUCAUAAGCCAAGGUAUACAAGGGAAGAAACACACAUCUAAAAUGCAAAUAUUGCAAUGGUGUUGGUCAUGAGGAAGACAAGUGUUGGGAACUUCAUCCUGAACUCAAGCCUAAGUUCAGCAAAGAUGGAAGGAUGAUACCAAGGUCCUCACAACAAUUUCAAACCUCAUUUCAAGGCACAACUUGCUAAUGCUCACGCUCCUACUAUCUCACAAGGAUCCAUGGAGUUCACUGCCAAUCCAUUGUCAUUAAUCAAUGAAUUUGCAGCUUACCUACAAAGUAAGGGGCACGGAGGAGGCUCAUAUGGUCAAGGCAAUGAAGAGGGUAGUCACACACACAGCUAUGUUGGGACAAUUUGCCGGAUUUCUUGCUGGAAAUGAGAAAGUUCCAAAGGGAGAAGCAUCAGGUAUACUCAAAGCCUUUACUACUGCCCUAUUAACUAGUACUGAAAUUGAUUGUUGGAUAAUUGAUUCAGGCGCCACAGAUCAUAUGACAAACAAAGUUACAAAUUUACAUCAUUUUAAAAAAAUUUCAAGCCCCUCACAUGUGUCUAUUGCAAAUGGAAAAAAUGUCUUAGUUUUGGGAAAAGGAGAAAUAAACUUACUCUCUCAAAAAACACCUUCCACUGCCCUCUAUGUACCAACCUUUCCCUUCCAACUUUUGUCAAUUGGAAAGAUCACCAACACCCCUAAACUGCCGUGCUAUUUUCUCACCAAAUAAAGUAAUGUUUCAGGAUGUUCUCACCAUGAAGAUGAUUGGUGAAGGGGUCUUCAUAAAUGGACUUUACUACCUGUGCAAGAAUGCAUGUUUCACUCAGGCUCUUCAAGCUCAAUCGAAGUCCAUAGAUGAAAACCAACUUUGGCAUAGGAGAUUAGCUCACCCCUCUGAACUUGUCUUGUCGAAACUGUUUCCAAAUUUUUGUAACCCCUAUCCUACUUGUGAUACUUGUCAAUUUUCUAAGUUUACUAGGCUACCUUUUGGUAAUUCAAUGUCUAGGACAAGUAAACCUUUUGAAAUGGUACACACCGAUGUAUGGGGACCUGCAACUGAAUCAAUGGAAGGUUUUAAAUAUUUUGUUCUAUUUGUUGAUGAUUUCUCUCGAACAAGUUUUCUAUAUCUUAUGAAAUCAAAAAGUGAAGUCCCUACCAUUUUCAAAGACUUUCACAUGCAUGUUAAAACGCAAUUUCAAUCAAACAUUAAGGUUUUAAGGUCAGAUAAUGGCACUGAAUUUCUAUCCAACAACAUGCUUCAAUACAUAAGUUCUCAGGGUAUCAUACAUCAAACCAGCUGUGUGGGGACUCCCCAACAAAAUGGAGUAGCCGAGAGGAAAAAUAGAGAUCUCUUGGAAAAAACUCGUGCUCUCAUGAUUCACAUGCACGUUCCAAAGAAAUUUUGGUCGUUUGCCAUCCUUACUGCCACUUAUCUCAUCAAUCGACUUCCAAGUCGUGUGCUAGGGUUUAAAUCUCCUUAUGAAGUUCUCAAGGGGAGGAAAAUAGAUUUGACACAUCUCAAGGUGUUUGGUUGUGUGUGUUUUGUUCACAUCCAAACCUUGAACCGUGACAAAACUAGAUGCCAGGGCAACCAAGUGUGUGUUUAUGGGAUACUCGACCACUCAAAAGGGAUACAAGUGCUUCAAUCCAGUCACUAAGAAGUGCACAGUUUCAAGAGAUGUGAAGUUCGAAGAAGACUAUCCCUAUUUUACAAGUCAGGGGGAGGAUUUAGUUGACAUGUUCCCACUCCCUCAAAACUUUAAUUAUCCGAUGUUGGAAAAGAGAUCAGUCAUUGUAAGUCCAGAUUGUGAAGAAGUUCAAACUGACCAAAUUACUGCCAGUGAAAGUGAAGACGAGCCCUACUCUGAUCCUUCUCCGCCCUCUACAGAGUCUCAGGUGAUUAAAAGAAAUCCUCCUCGAAUCAGAAAACCUCCAGCUAGGUUGCAGGACUAUGUUACAUAUGCCUCACGACAUCCAAUCAAUGAAUGUAUCAGCUUUAGUAAGUUCUCAACAUCUCAUGCUGCAUUUCUCAGUGAAAUUGAUAAGCACUAUGAACCAAGAAGCUUUCAAGAAGCUUCUCUUCUCCCACAAUGGAACCAAGCCAUGAAAGAAGAGAUUCGUGCACUGGAAGAGAAUUGCACCUGGAGCCUAGUUCAACUACCACCAGGAAAAAAGGCUGUUGGAAGUCGUUGGAUUUACAAGACUAAAUUCAAAGCUGAUGGAUCUAUCGAGAGACACAAGGCUAGACUUGUUGCUCGAGGUUUCACCCAAACCUUUGGUGUAGAUUAUAAGGAAACAUUCGCACCGGUGGCCAAGAUGAACUCAGUCAGGGUUUUACUGUCAGUUGCAAUCAAUUGUGGAUGGUCACUCUACCAAAUGGACGUGAAGAAUGUUUCCUUCACGGCGAGCUGCAGGAAGAAGUGUAUAUGCAACCUCCUCCAGGCUAUGAUGGUAUUAAAGGCAACAUGGUUUGUAAAUUGCACAAGGCAAUAUACGGAUUGAAACAAUCACCAAGAGCUUGGUAUGCCAAGCUCAGUUCUGUUCUGGAAAAGGCUGGAUUCAUGCGAAGUAAUGCUGAUUCUUCGUUAUUUGUAAGAACUGGCACCAGGGGGAAGUUGGUGGUCCUCGUCUAUGUUGAUGAUCUUAUCAUCACUGUAGAUAAUACCGUGGAGAUUGAGGCACUAAAACUCUCACUACAUCAAGCUUUCGCUAUCAAAGAUUUGGGGAGGUUAAAGUAUUUUUUGGGGAUCGAAAUGGCAACAUCUUCAAAAGGACUGUUUCUACAUCAACGGAAAUAUGUAUUGGACCUCCUUCAAGAAGCAAAAAUGCUUGACUGCAAGCCUGUUAUCACUCCCGUUGAUUGUAAACUGAAGCUCAGCAUAGAUGGAGAAGCCAUGCAUGAUGUAAGCUACUAUCAACGAUUAGUAGGCAAGCUCAUAUACCUCACUAUCACUCGUCCAGAUAUCACAUAUGCAGUGAGCUUGGCUAGUCAGUUCAUGCACUCUCCCACUGUUGAUCACCUUAACCUUGUUAAGAGAAUCCUUCGUUAUCUUAAGGGUUCAAUUGGGCAAGGAAUUACAAUGCAUAACAAUCAGUCCACUGUCAUUAGUGGCUACACAGAUGCAGACUGGGCAGGUAAUGCAAUUGAUAGGAAAUCAAUCACAGGCUAUUGUACAUUUGUUGGUGGAAACCUUGUCACAUGGAAGAGUAAGAAGCAACAGGUAAUUGCUCGUUCCAGCGCAGAGGCUGAGUAUCGAGCCAUGGCAGCCACUGCGUGUGAACUCAUUUGGCUUAAAGGGCUUCUUUCAGACUUAGGGUUUCCUAGUUCUACUCCUAUGAUGCUUAUGUGUGAUAAUCAGGCAGCCAUGCAUAUUGCUGCCAAUCCUGUGUUCCAUGAAAGAACCAAACAUAUUGAAGUGGAUUGUCAUUUCAUCAGAGCUCAAGUUCAAACGCAAAUCAUCCGGACCAUGUUCACACGAAGCCAUGAUCAACUAGCAGAUCUUUUUACAAAGGCACUAGCAUCAUCUCAGUUUCAUCGGUUAUUGGGCAAGCUUGGCUCAGUGAAUCCCCUCGAUCCAGCUUGAGGGGGAGUGUUGGAAGAAUACAUGCAAGUCAUAUCUUGUGUUAAAAUGCAUGCAUGAAAUAAACAUGUUGGAUGACUAGUGAAGUUAGGCUAGUCAACAUUCUUUGUGUAAAAUGCAUGCAUGAAAUAAACAUGUUGGAUGACUAGUGAAGUUAGGCUAGUCAACAUUCUUUGUGUAAGUUAAGCAAGUUAGGCAAGUUAGGCAAGUUAGGCUUAUGUCUACUUUCUUUUCCUAUAUAUAUGUUUCAUUUGUAAUUGUUUCUUCAUGAAAUACACAUCAAAAAUUCUACAAUUCAGCUAUCAUUUUCUGCUUAGGAGACUCUCUUAAACUGUGUGAAACUGUGCUCAUUAGGCUGGGCAGAGCAAUGACAAGCUAAAAACAAAACAAAAACAAGCAGAAUUAUCACAUGUAGUGCAGGAUAAAUUCUAAACGACCCAAAUCUGGAUGGUAAAAUACUUGGAGUUGGAAUUAAUAGGAUCGAUUGAAACAUGGAUUUUUUUUUUAUUAGAUUGGUAUAUCUGACUUAAUUAAGAAGUUGUUUAAGACACAGUCAUUAGGGAAUUUCUGUAAUUGAACGUAGUUGUUUUCAUGAGGUUAAAUACAAUAAGGUGAUUCUAUGCCAAGAAGUGAUUUUAUAUGGACACAUUGUAUGAUGUAAAAUGGUAAAAGGAGUACCUGUUCCUGUCCAGCCUUAUGUUUUCUGAGUCUUGCUUAUUUUUCAUUAGUCAUAUGAAAGAUGCUGCAAUAUCGUGGGAUCAAAAUAGCUAAGAAACUGGACGUGGACAUCUUUAUUCUAUAGAGCGUAUGUAAAAGUAAUUUAGACUUUAUUAGUUUAUAUUAAUCCUUCACUUCUGUUCAUAUAUUGUAAUUUCUAUAUGGUUUGUCCACAUUUGUCUUAGGAGACUCUGGGGCUGCUUAAAUUUUAUAUAUUCAGUUGCAUAGAGUCGGCAUGACAUGCACAGCGAUUGUCAGAUUGCCACCCUUAGUUGGUGAUAUUUUCUUUACAACACAUUCAAAUUGAGGAUUUAGAAAAUCUAAUAAUAAAACUCAAACAUAUGUUCGAUGCUUUUUGUUUUCAUUUUCGGUUAAAAGGUUUCAGCUUUGGAUUGGGAUUUACCUUUAUUAAUCUAUAAUUUUGUGCUCAGGACACCAUCUUGGGGGUCUUAACAUGAUUGUUCUUCUAUUUCAUAGACUCAAAACGUGUCUAGUGUUUCAUUGAAUUGGUAUACCUUUGCUCAUUUAACUCAAAUUUAAUACGGUUUGGUCCUCCAAUUUCUCUAAAUUGCCAACGGAUUUAUUUUCUUUGGAAAUUUCAGGAACUCUGGUUGUGGUAGGAACAAGCCGGCUCCUUGCUAUUUUUAGGUAUAUGAUUAUGUGCCCUGAUUGCAUGUUCAAAGUCUAAUUAGUUAUAUAAACUUUUAAUUUAUCUUUGCAAAGCUUUUGUACUUGGAUUUUAGUUUAGAUAUGCGAUUUGUUUGUGAAAAAUUAACGAGAAGACUAAUCAUGGGGACAUUCUUAUUUCUGAAAUUUUCUCUUCAGCAUUGUUUCUUGAAUAAAUUUGGAUUGGUAGAUGUAGGGGUAGAGUAACCCCCGUGGUGUAAAUAAAAGGUAUAGGCGUAAUGAUUUCUAGGUUUAGAAUUCAUUGAAAAAUAUGAUAUAAUGCUGCGUUCUCUAAUAUUUUUUUUUUUUUUGGCUGUUUGCUGUUCUAAACUUUUGAACUCCUUUUUGGAUUGAUCUUUGUUAUUUUUGUUUUUGGGGGUAUCUGAUUGGUCAAGGUUGCCCAAUCUUGGUUGUACUUUUUCCCAAGACAGGGCACAUUUGAAACUUUGAAUUCUUGAGUUUAUAUUUUAAUUCUCAUUAGUUAAUGCUUAAUAUUUGGCCUUUUAUUUUGAGAUUAGAAUGAAUACGUUUGGCCUGAAAGACAGUAAACUGAAUUAAAAGCUGGCUUAUUUUCCAUUGGCCAUCAAUUAGGGUGAGAAAACAUUGAAUUGAGAUCAUUAAACAGCACUUAUAUAGGGCACUAUACCAAAUGAGCUCGAAGAGGACUCAGCAAUUGAAGAACAAUUGAUGGCAUACACCUUGGACAUGAUUAAGUUAGUUGAACAUUAUACUAUAACAAGUACAUAUUUCUGGAGUCAGUUUCACACGCAGACACGCACACACACAUCUGACGUAAAGUUAGUCUAUUAGAUGGUUUCCAGAUUGACCCCCCCUUGCCAAAUCUAUUUCAAGGCUGGAAGGAGAGUUAAAACAUAUGUUAUUGUCUUAUAUGUUUGUAUUUGAAUGGUAACGAUGUUGUUCUUCUGGUGGAAAAUUUUUCCUUUGAAUCCAUUUCAGCUUAGGCUCUACUUUUUUUUUUUUCAUUUCAGCUUCAUUUUCAUGUUCAUCAUGUCCUGUUGGUAUGUGUUUUGUGUUGGCAUUGGAGGGUGGUGGGUUGUCGUUUUGUUUUUCUUUUCUCUGAUUGUAAGACCUUCUAACGAUUGAAUUUAUUUUAUGCUGAAACACUCAUUUUGAUCCCCUAGUUUGAGUUUUUCAGUUACGUAUCAAUACUUAACUGCUGGAUUUUUCUUAAGGAAAUUGGAUAUAGGCUAUAUACUAUGUGUAAAAGUCAUGGAGAUCAAGUUUUGUGCUUUCAUUUGUCACAAUGCAGUUUUUUGUUUUCAUAAAUCAAGUUUUGUGCUUUCAUUUUUCUUUUAAAUUUUAAUUUGUCUUUCAAUCAGUUUUUUGUUUGAGAGAACUCUUAAUUUUCAUGGAAAUAUAGUUAUUUGUGAAUAUGGAAACUUGAAUCUGUGUAGACAUCAGAGUUCUUAUGGUUGUGAUAUGAAAUUUAAAUACAAACUUCCCAAUUUGUUUUUGGAAUUUUAACUAAACUUGCGUUGUAGGUAGAUCAUGCUAUUAAGAUAACAAAAAAAUAGGUAGAUUUGUGUAUGCAAUGAGUUGUAGUGAACAUUUGGCAGUAAUAGAAAUGGUUUAGGUGUGCACAGUUUUGGCCUAAAUGGUUAUCACACGAGCGUAAAUGUUUGUUUCAUUUGUGAUUGAACUCGAAUUUGUUGGAAAGCUUUUCAAUUUAUGAAUAUGGAAAGCUUUUCGUCUUUACUUCUAAACUUAUUUUCUGCUUGGUUGUUGAGAAGGUGAUGGAAAUAUAGUUAUCUGUUAAUAUGGAAACUUGAAUCUGUGUAGACUCCUUGGGUUGUCUGUUGUGUUCAGUGGAGGUUUAGUGUUUUAAUUUUGAAUGAUUUGUUUUUCGUUUCAUGGAAAUGACCUAUUAUUUGAUUUAAUUGAGUAAUUUAAUGGAAGUAUAUUCUCUUUUUUUUCUUUUCCAUAUUUCGUUUUGUCUGCAACCAAACAGGGUAAGGAACUGUAAUCUUUUUAAUUACUCUGCUAUCUCCGUGAGUUAUGAAAAUCAGACCUUUUGUUUUAUUUCUGUAUAUGUAGUUCCGAAGGAAUCAAGUGCCAAAAUUAGAAUAAACAUCCUUUAGUCAAGUUACGCACUUUUCCAUAGAAUGUUUGGUUUAGGGAUCCCUUAUACAAGCACAAUAUUCUUAUGUAUUUAAAUCGUAGUUGACCGUCAUGGUUUAAUAAGUGUGAAAACUGUCUUUAAGUCUUAACUAUACCAUUGGAGCGAUACAGUUUUAGUUAUUUUAUUGGAUCCGUUUGUUAGCGCUUUGAAUUCUUACUCUGAAUCUCACUCAUUUUUUGCAGUUUAGAUUGGACUCUCAUCACGGCAUUGUAAUCUGCUCUUGCUGCUGCGAUUAAUCUAACGGUUCUGAGGCGUUGCAUUUGAAUCAAGACUUCGGUAUGCUAGCUGAACUUAAAUGCAUUCUUUUCCCAUUCUUUCCGUUUGAGGCAGCGCAACUUUAUGAUCUUUUAUAUUGAUUGUUUGGUUUGAUCACCUUUUGUUAUUCGUUUGCUUUAUGCUUUGUUUUUCAUUCUUGGUUGUCUCUGUGAUUGUCUCAUUGUCCAGAGGUCGGAUGGUUAGUUUUUUAUUUUUUUUGUUCUAAUUUUGUUUGUGCAAUUCCGUUAUUGUUUGAAGGCCCGUUGCUAUCUCUGUGAUUCUGGUUUAACCCGGUGCUCUUAAUUCUUUAUCGGAUGUUGUUGGUCAUUUUAUCUCUUUUAUUUUGUAUUGGUUGGUUGGUGUUUUCGUUUGGUUUUCUGAUGGUGAACUAUCUCAUCCUCCCCGAAGUGUUUUAACAUGUUUUGUUGAUAAUUGCGCUCUCUAAACGAACUCGACAUUUUUUUAGAAAAAUCACAACUUCCAUAUUUAAGAAAAUGUGUGGCUUUUUAGCAAUGCAUGAAUGCAGCUAAGAUGUUCUGAAAAAUUCAUGGAUAUUUUACAUUCAAACCACAAGUAUCAUUAACUUAUAAAUAAUUAAGUUAUGUAUUUUCUUUAUCGGCUAUCACUUCAAAAUUUGAACUAAAACACUGUCAAAAAGCUUUUUGGUUGUGUUUUCCUUAUUCAUUAUGUAAGUUUCGCAAAUCUUCUACAUGCUGCAUAUUUUUUUGUUUGAACAUCUAUGGUUGACGAGUUACCUGCUCAAACGCCACUUUUUCUGUGUUUUGCUAACUGCUAAGUGAGUUAUGUAGGUUGCAAAGCAUAUAUUUGGCCGUCUUAACUGCAGGGGCAAAAUAUGUGUGAAUUGCAGCUUCCUUCUGUUUCUACAGUUUCAUAUAUGGAAACAGGCCUUCUGUUUUUUUUUUUUUUUUUGCCUUUGAACAAUUAUGGUUCCAAAAUUAGCUACUUGAACAAGUCCUCAACACUUUCUGCUUUAAAUUACCUGUUGAACUAGCUGCCUACACUGCAGGACACAUGUUAUGUGUGAACUAAAUGUUUCUUCUUUUUCUUAAGCAAACGGAAAUUGUUUGGAAACCAUCUCUUUCUAAUCAAACACGUACAGUUUCUUCCCACUCAUUGUGCAUUGUGUUUAUAUGCCAACUCACUUAAAUAUGUAUAACAGCACAAUUGCUUAUCUUAUUGGGCUCAUUCACUCAUGUAUCCCUCUGUUUGUUUGUAAUUGUGUUGAAUUUAUUCAACUUAAAUGUGUUUUAUCCAUCCGAUUACGUCUGAAACAGUGGUUCCCGCAGCAGCGUGCGGGCGUAUUUUCUAGUUUUUAACAAAAUUUUGCAAACUAAAUGACACGAUUGUUGAUGAGUGGAUUAUUAUUUUAGUGUUGAUUAACAUGCUUAUUUUAUUGUGGUGACACAUCAUUUAGUUUGCAAAUUUAGUCUCCUUGUCAUUACCUAUUUGUGUAUGAUGGCGGAGGCAUCAAUAAUUAGUUCUCACCAUUUGAAUUUGUGCAAUUGUGACAACAGAUCAAGCUUCCAAAUCUCCAAGGAACUAGUCUUUGACUGUUGAUCUUCCCUUCGUCGAGUCUGUAUUUGUUGAUCAUAAGCGGAGUCAGAUUUGAACUUCCCUGUAAGUUCUUAUUAUUCACUGAAUAAUACAUUAGUUGUUUCUCAUUUUAUUUGAACUACUUUUUAUUCAUUUGUUUCUUCACUUAAUUUGUGCAGCUCUUCACCUCAAUAUUGCUCAAGAACGCUUCCUUAUUUCUUUGGUUGCUUGGAGUUCUCAGCGCUCCUAAGAUGCCACUUGGAGAGGUUUUUCUUGCGGCGUUUCUACAGUUGCUGCUUGACAGGUUGACCCCUCGCGACAUUCUCAACUACUUUGGAAACUUCCGGGGUGUUGGAAAGAAGCUGGAGAAGUGGAGGGCCACGUUAACUACAAUCGCAGCAGUGCUGAGCGACGCCGAUGAAAGACAACGGACUGACGAUGCUGUAAAACUAUGGCUCAAUAAUCUCAGAGACCUUGCUUAUGAUGUCGAAGACAUGUUGGACAAAUUUGCGACUCAAAUGUUGAAGCGCACGAUAGAGGGACGUGAUCAAGCCAGCACGAGCAACAAGGUGCGAAACUCACUUUUCAAAAUUAAAUUGAAUUGGAAUAUGAACUCCGAAAUGAAGAAGAUUACGGAGCGGUUACAAGACAUAUCUGACCGAAAAGUUAAGUUUAGCUUGAAAGAUACUGGGACGUCUGCUAAGGAAUCGCGAAGUCUACCAUGUUCAGGCGUGUUAGAUGAAAAGCUUCUUGUUGGAAGAGAUGGUGACAAAGGGAAGAUUAUUGAAUUGUUGAAAAAGUCUACCAAUUUUGGUGUGGUUGCUAUAGUUGGCAUGCCCGGAGUUGGGAAGACGACACUUGCUCAACUUGUAUUCAACAACAAAGAUGAUGCCAUGAAGGAGUUUGAGCUCAAGGUCUGGGUAUCUGUGUCCGAUGACUUCGAUGUUGUGCGAGUGACAAAGGCAAUUCUUGAAUCAAUGAAACCCCUACCCGUUCAAGUGGAGGAGUUUAGUAAAAUGCAGCAUGAUUUGAGUGAGCAAUUAAGAGGAAAAAAGUUUUUAAUCGUUUUAGAUGAUGUUUGGAACAAAGGUGACCGUGAUCUAAACGAUCUCUGGUUAAGACUUAAAUCCCCUUUUGGCGUCGGAGCAGGAGGAAGUAAGAUUAUUGUGACAACCCGUGAUUUAAAUGUUGCAAAGAUUAUGGGAGCCACUGGAUUUCAUAAUUUGGAAUGUAUGGCAAAUGAUGAUUGUUUGGAAAUAUUUGAGCGACAUGCAUUCGGGGAAGUUAAUAGUGGAAAACCAGUAAAUUAUGAGUUAAUUCGGACAAAAAUUGUUGAAAAAUGUUGUGGCUUACCAUUAGCUGCGAGGACUCUCGGUGGUCUUUUACGUUGCAAAGAAACAGAUGAGUGGGGAGAAAUAUUGGACAACAAACUAUGGAAUCUCGCAGAUAACUGUAACCUUCCCCGCGUACUAGAGUUGAGCUAUCACUAUCUUCCAUCACAUUUGAAGAGGUGUUUUGCCUAUUGCUCAAUACUUCCAAAUGACUACGAAUUUGGGGAGAAGCAGCUCGUCCUUUUGUGGAUGGCAGAGGGUUUGAUUCAACAAAAACCUGACAACAAUAAACAAAUGGAGGAUUUGGGCCGCGACUACUUUCGAGAGCUAUUAGCAAGGUCGCUGUUUCAAGAAUCAAGCAAAAACAAUUCACGAUAUGUAAUGCAUGACCUCGUUUCUGAGUUAACACGAUGGGCUGCAGGAGAAAUAUGUUUUAGGUUGGAAGAUAAGCAAGGUGAUAACUUGCAAAGCACUUGCUUUCGAGGGGCUCGCCAUUCGUCUUUCAUUGCUGGUGAAUUUGAUGGAGUUAAGAGAUUUGAGGACUUUCCAAAAGCUGAACGUUUGCGAACAUUCCUGCCACUUUCGCUUUCAUAUUCCACGGGAUGGUUAAAAUUUUUGUCUCGUCAGGUUACUUUUAAGCUAUUACCACAGUUGCAAUACUUACGAGUGCUCUCGUUCAAUGACUACAAAAUAACUGCGCUGCCAGAGUCAAUCGGUGAUUUGAGGUUGUUACAGUAUCUUGACCUUUCCUACACAUAUAUAACUAGUUUGCCUAAAUCGAUAAGUACUCUUUACAACUUGCAGACAUUGAUAUUGGAACACUGUUACUAUUUGAAGUCAUUGCUUGCGGACAUGAGUAAUUUAAUUAAUUUGCGCCAUCUCAACAACUCAUAUGUAUCUUCGUUGGAAGGAAUGCCUCCAAAUCUAGGUAGCUUGGUGAAUCUCCAAUCUUUGCCUAAUUUUGUGGUCAGUGGUGGAAGUGAUCAAUCAGGAAUAAGAGAGAUAGGGCCCCUAUCGCAUCUCCGAGGGACAUUGUGCAUCUCAGGAUUGGAGAAUGUGACUGAUGUCGAGGAUGCCAGGAGGGCCAACUUGAAAUGCAAGGAGAGGCUUGAUUCGUUGGUCCUAAAAUGGUCUCAUUCAAGCGACACGAGAGAAACGGAAUCCGUUGUGCUUGACAUGUUAGAGCCUCAUACAAAGCUCAAGGAGCUCACCAUCAAGAGUUAUGCCGGAGAGGAAUUUUCAUCAUGGGUUGGAGGUCCUUUGUUCUCUAAUAUGGUGCUUGUGUGCUUACAGAAAUGUAACAAUUGUUUAUCGUUGCCUCCUCUCGGACAAUUGCCUCAUCUCAGGGAACUUUAUAUUAGUGGAAUGAAUGCAGUGGAAAGUGUUGGUGCUGAGUUUUAUGGAGAGCGUAUGUUGCCUUUUCCGGUAUUAGAGACUCUUGAGUUUGUGGAAAUGCAGCAUUGGAAGGAAUGGCUUCCUUUCCAAGCCGAUCACGAAGGUGGUGCUUUCCCUUGCUUGAAAACACUCUUAGUAAAAAAAUGUUCUAAACUGGAGGGUAAACUGCCAGAGAACCUCAAUUCUUUAGCUAAGCUUAAAAUUGUUGAAUGUGAAGAAUUAGUGGUUUCAAUUGCCAACUGCAAACAACUUCGUCAAUUAAACAUUGACGGUUGUAAAGUGUUGGUGCAUACAGCUGCUAAGGUUGAGUUUGAGUUGUUAGAGUCCUUGUGCCUUUCAAACAUUUCGGAGAUGAUGUCUCUGCAAACAGGGGAGUUGUUGAAGAAGGGAUUAACCAAGGUUAGAGAUUUGAAGAUCAGUGGAUGUGAGGAGGUGACGUCUUCACUGAAGAAUGAGGAGGGUAGAUUAUUGCAGCAGUUGACUUCUCUUGGCAGUUUGGAAAUUGAAGACAACUCUCGUCUAGUUGAAGAAUUGGGAAAAGAAGCUGAGGAGUUGCAAAUAUCGGAGUGCAAGCUUGAAUUUCUGGAGUUAAAAAAGUGCGAAAAUCUUUCGAAGCUACUAAAAGGAUUAAAUCAGCUGUCGUCUCUUCAAGAGCUUCGCAUACACGAAUGUUCAAGUCUAGUUUCUUUCCCAGAUGUUGGUCUACCUUCUCUUAAAGACAUCCAGAUUACAUCGUGCGAUUCGUUGAUAUAUUUUGCAAAAUUCCAGAUUCCCCAAAAUCUCAGAAGAACAGAGAUAAAAGAUUGCAAAAGUUUGAAAUCACUAGUAGAUGAGGAGGCUGUUGGUUCUUCUUGGUCGUCUUUUUCUCAUAGUUGUCUUGAGUAUUUACGUAUCCGAGGUUGUGAAUCUCUGAUGUCGUUAUCAUUGAGUGGCCAGCUUCCCAGGACACUUAAACACCUUGAUUUAGAGAAUUGUGACCGACUGGAGCUAAUCGCAGGGGACGGGUUCUUCCGCGACAACACUAAUGAUUGUCUUGAAUAUAUUAGGAUCUGGAAUUGUCAAAAUCUGAAAUCCUUACCGGAUGGCUUAUGCCACCUCAGCAAUCUUCAAACUCUAGGUAUUGGGAACUGUGGAAGUCUUGUUUCCAUCCCGAGACUGAGUGGGGGGAGAAGACCCUCCAACCUGAGAAAGAUCUGGAUCAUCGGAUGCAACAAAUUGGAGGCGUUGCCCGAAGACAUGCACAAUCUCAACUCUCUUGAGGAAUUGAGCAUCGACUACCGUGAAGGUUUGACUUUUCCUCCCAACCUAACAUCACUUGAAAUUGGGAAGGUCAAGAGCUGCAAGUCAUUGUGGGAGUUGGAGUGGGGGUUGCACAGACUCACCUCUCUUAGGGAGUUGGGAAUCCGUAGUACAGACCCGGAUACGGUGUCGUUUCCACCCGACAUGGUACGGAUGGAGACGCUCUUCCCCAAAUCUCUCACUAACCUCUCAAUAGAUGGCUUCCCGAAUCUGAAGAAACUGAGCAGCAAGGGCUUUCAAUUCCUCAC
RNAcentral lists this long non-coding RNA (46882 nucleotides) under Malus domestica (apple). RNAcentral describes it as "long non-coding RNA (MDOM_LNC009894)". Lineage: Eukaryota; Viridiplantae; Streptophyta; Magnoliopsida; Rosales; Rosaceae. The record is from RNAcentral.